CGUCUCCUUUUGCAGUCAACAUUUCAAGUAAUCCAACCCAUCAACGGCGACCCCUUCAUUGGAAGCCUGGAGACUCCAAUCACCUCAAGCCCCUUAAUUGCAUGGUACCUUUCCAACCUCCCAGCCUAUAGGACGGCAGUGAACCCACUUCUGAGGGGAAUCGAAGUGGGUCUGGCUCACGGCUUCCUCCUGGUUGGUCCAUUCGUAAAGGCCGGCCCUCUAAGGAACACUGCGGUGGCGGGUCAAGCUGGGUCCUUAGCCGCUGCCGGUUUGGUUGUGAUCCUCAGCAUUUGCUUGACGAUGUAUGGCGUUGCGUCGUUCAAAGAAGGUGAGCCAUCGAUAGCACCGAGCCUAACCCUGACUGGGAGGAAGAAAGAGCCAGACCAGUUGCAAACGGCGGAUGGAUGGGCUAAGUUCACUGGAGGGUUCUUCUUUGGUGGAAUCUCUGGUGUCACUUGGGCUUACUUCCUCCUGUAUGUCCUUGACCUUCCUUACUACUUUAAGUAGAUCAUCAUUUGAUCUAUGUUUUACCUGGUCCCUUUUUUAAUGUAAAUCAUUGUAUUCAGGAUGAUCCUUUGGGAACGAAUAUCAAUUAUAUCAAGUGAUUGUCACUCUAAUUUAAGUUAUUUAUUGAAAGAGAUAUUUCACUCGCUUUACCACAAUCAAUAGCCAAAUUGCCGCACUAGGCGUUUUGAGCUUCAACUGUUAUUAAAAGCGGCUCUAAUCAGAUCAAUUAUUACUGUGCUCGUUCGAGGCAGAAAAAAAAGAUUAAUUAAUACCUCAAUCUAAUAUUUUUUUAAUGUGAUUUUUAUAUUAUAUUUUUGGUCUAAUAUGAUACUUAUAUUUGAUAACAGUAAUAUAUUUUGAUACUUAAAGGUAAUUAUGUCAACUUUGAAUGUUUAAUUUGAGUCUUAAAGCUGAUGAUGAAAGUUUAAUCACUAAAACUAUUAUGUUUGAAUUUUUCAUGGUUUUGUUAAUAAAGUAAAUGGUUUUGUUAAUAAAGUAAAUUUAAUGUUAAUUGUAAUUUUUUUAAGUUUUGCAUUUAAUUUGUCAAUCAUAAUUAAAUGGAUAUGAUUUAAUUGGAGCUUUAGGAUUGAUUUAAUGAAAGUUAAUAACUUAUUAUCUAAUUAUGAAUUUUCAUCAAAUCACAUCUAAAACUUAAAUUAAACACUAAAGAGUUAACACUGAGUUGAACAAAAAAAAGGUAACACCGUUAGCUUCAAAUACAAAGAGGUAUAACCCUAAACCUUUAACAGUUAUACAAAUUAAUCCAUAGGCUAGCUAGAUUAAGUUACGACAACUCCGAAAAUAUAGAAAUCAUUAAAAAUGGAUUGAAAAAUACUUACCAUGCACCAAAUUUAGCUUAGCCAAAUUAACAAGCUCCCAUGGAAGGUUUUAGCUUCAAAUUUCGGUGGAUGAACAACCAUUUAGGAAGAUCUUUUACAAUAUUUUACUUAGUUUAAUUUGUUAAAUUACAAUUUUAACCUUAAUUAAUAACAUUUAAAACACUUAAUAAUGUGUCCAAAUAUGUCCACUCACAUUAAUCAUGACCUAAUUACAACAUAAGGAACUCUAAUUUAAGAUUCCACAGCUAUUUAACACCUUUAGCUAAUAGAAUACAAGUUUUACAAUUUACGUGAUUUAGUCCUUUUUUAUCAAAUUAAGCAUUUAAACGAUAAAAUUUCCUAACGAAAUUUUCACACAAUCAUACUAUCAUGCUGUAGACAUUAAAAUAAUAAUAAAAUAAAUAUUUCGACCUCAGAUUUGUGGUCCCGGAACUACUAUUCUGAUUUGACUAGAACUCUUGAAAGGACCAAAGAAUAAAUAAACUAAAACUAUGAAAACUUAAAGAAAGCAAGAAAAAAAAACUUCAACCUAAAGAGAGAAUCUAAGCUAAUGGAAUGGUGUCCAUAAUAUGUGCCAAAUGAGUCUAUUUAUAGCCUUCAGGUAGUCGUCAUCCUUAACCCUACGUUAGCUGACAUUCCCAAGCUUUAAGUUCGAUUGUAUAGACCAAAACGCCUUUGCUUCGUGUUUUAUUUUUGUCAUAGAUUUGAUGUUGUGACACACCAGGACCUGUGUCACGACAUAGGAGCCAUUAUGCUCCUCUACAGCCAUCUUUAGGGGUAUGUUGCGACACCCUCAGCAUGUGUCGCGACAUUGAAGAAAAUUCCUUGCUUUCUCUAUUAUGUUCCCUAUGUUAUGACAUCAGAUAUCCCAUGUUACGACAUAGUGUUCAGUAUUGGUCCAAAAUGCCUUCUAAUGAUUUUUUGUACACUUACAAAGUACGUUAGCUCUCUUUUAGGCCUCAUUCGGCCCUUAAGGUCAAUAAAAGACUCAAUGUGCAUAUUUUAUUGGAUGUAAGUAAGACUAAAGAAACUUACUUAAAACAUAACGAAAAUGAUUGUAUUCAAGCUCCUUGAAUGUGAAAACUAGUUUAAUAUACUACACUAAGUUAUGGAAGAUCAUUGACAUAAGCUUAAUAAGAAGUUGGUGAAAAUAGUCAUCCAAACCUAGAUUGGAUGAUACAAUGGAUGCAAGAUUAGGGACCAAUUUUCCAAGAAUUUGCUAGACAAAACAACAUUCAAGUCCCCAAUUAUACACGUGACAUGUUCGAGCAAAAAAAUUUGGAACGAGAAGAAAAGUUGCAUGAUAACAAAGAGAAAUGAAAGGAUGAGGAGGACGAUGAAAGCGAGGAAAUGGAUUUUGAGGAAGGAGAUUGAACAAUUUUAAAUUUUGUUUUUAGAAAAUACUUGUAUUAAUUUUUGGAUGAUUUUGAUUUAGACUACUAAAUUUUGAUUUGGACAAUUUUAAUUUUCGGAGAUUGAAAAAUUUUAAAUUUUUGAAUUAAUAAUAGAUUUUUAGUUACAUUGCAUUUUGUUUCAGUUUUCUAUGUAGGAACCCAACACGAAGGAGUCACAAACAAUUCGCGCUUUACACGAUCAAAGGAGGAAGAGCCACCAUUAGUAGUAGGAGUGACAACGAUCAAUCAUGUAACUUCUUUCGUUAUCUAUUUAUGGGCUACACAUUGAGGAAAAUGUGUCAACUAAAGUGUGGAGGGUAACAUAGAAAAUUUGUUUACAUUUUUACAUUUUUUCCUUUAUUUUUCUUGUCUUUUGUGUGCUUGAGCUUGUAGAAAUAUAAGUGAUUGGUUAGGAGCAUGUACAUAGGUUGGUUGUGUUUGCAAAUAAAUUUGGCAUGAUGAUAGGUGAUUUUAAAUUUUUGGUUAUUAGAGUACUAAGUUCUAUCUAUUACAUUGUAAAUAGGCAUUAAGCAAUCAACUAUACCAAAUGAUAUAGAAAAUACAAGGAAAUGAGCAUACUAGUAUGAAUGAUAAAUGACUAAAUUUGAGUUUGUUUGGUUGAUUAAAUUUGUGCAUAUUGAGAUAUUAAGGGAUGACCUAAGGCAUUGUUUGGAACACAUCCAGAGUCAAAAAGUUGUCCAAUUCAUAUUCAACUUUAGUACCUAUUUUUGAGACUGUUGACACUUCUUGAUGAACCUCAUCACAAACCCUGAUCUUAAAAAUAUUAAUUUGUAUUUACCCUUUUUCUUUGGUCUUGCACUGCACGACUAUAGACGUCUGGCAUUAUGUAUUGAGGGUUAUGUAGAUACAUCACGAUAGAGUUUGUAAAAAUAGAGUGAAGUAGGAAAUGUAACAGCCCAAUUUUGGUGAAAUCGGAACAGUGGUUUCGGGACCACAAAUCUGAGCUGAAAAUAAAAUUUAUUUUUAUUUUAUUAUAUGAUCCAUAUUAUGUUAGAAAUGUGAAAAUUUUGAAAAGAAAGUUUUAUUGAUUAAGUGUUUAAUUACAAGAAGGACCAAAUCGCAUAAAAUGCAAAAGUUAAAUUCUAGUAGCUAUAAGGAUUAAAUAGCUAUGGAAUUCAAAACUUGAGGUCCUUAUAUAGUAAUUAGACCAUUGAAGAAAGUAUGUAGAUAAUUUGGUGACUCAUCCAUGGAAAUUUAGAAAAAGGGCAAGGACUAAAUUGGAAAAUAUAAUAAUUUAAUUUAAUUAAUUAAAAGAUGAUAAAAAGAAAAUAUCAUCUUAUUUUGUCAUCUUCAACCCCAAAAUUUAUGGAAACCCUAGGAGAGAAAGAAGAAACUUUCAAGGCUUAAUUGGGUAAGAUUCCUUGUCCCAUUUUUAGUAAUUUUGAUAUUUUUGAAACCGUGAUAGCUUAAACUAUCUAUUUGAGGGAUUAAUUUAAAAAGUUAUCAAAGUAUGAAAAAUGGGUCAUGGAUGUAUAUGCUAAAAAUCAGAAAUUUAUGGUAGAAAAUGAAAGGUUGUUGAUAGAUAAACAACUUCUAGAAAGUAAUUUUUUAUGGAAACAUGAUUUAGGGACUAAAAUGUAAAAUUCUAAAAUUUUGUAAUACCCCAAAAAUUACUACAGUAAGAAAGUAAGAUAUUAUCCUUGAUAUAGUUAAGUAAGGAAAUAAAGUGACAAAAAGGGAAAUUUUAUUAUGUCAACAUUGGGAAGUAUAUUAUGAUAUAUUACAUUAUUAAUUCAAGAAAGGACUAAAUUGUAAAAGUGAGAAAAAUUUUGUUGCCCAAGAGUAAAUACUCAAAAUUUGAAGGGUUAAAGUGUAAAUAUGAAAAAUUUGAAGGACCAAUAGUGUAAAUAUUUUAGGGGUGGAAUAAUCUAGAAACUAAGGAAAAUGGAUGAAUUAGGACCAAAUCAAAUUGGUGAAGAAUUAUGAGGGACUAAAUCGUAAUUUUUCCAAAUUAAGUGAUGACUCAAUAAUGAAAUUUUAAAAGAAUAUGAAGGGCAAAAUGGUCAAUUAGUAAGAGAGAGGAUUCUAGAAUGUAAUGACUAUGAAUGAUGAUAUUUUAAAUUAAUUAAUUAGAUAAAUAUUAUUUUAUUAAUAUUUUAAUAAGAUAUUUAUGAUUAUUUUAUUAUUUUAUUUAGUAUAUAUAUGUGUGUGUGGAAAACACACACACACAUACACACAAUCCAUAAUCUUUCCAUGCAUUUCACGUUUGAAGAGAAGAGAAGAAAGAAAGUUUUACUUUCUUUACAAUUUAGUCCUUCCACCAAAAAUUCACCAUUUUUACCUAGAAAUCAAAAGAAUUUCCAUAGCUACCAAGAGAGAAAAAUGUUAAGGAGACUAAGGGGAUUUAGAAUAUCGAGUUGGAUUCAAGAAAUAGAAGUUGGAGGAGAAAGAAAAAUCAAGUUAAAGAUUGAAAUCAAUAGGACAAGGUAAGAACUUUAAGACUUCAAUAUAUUUUAAGUAGAGUUUCUCAUGUAAGGUAAUAUCAAAAGCAUGAAAAUGAUGUUAAGGUAGAGUUUUCUUAUAUAAGGUUCUAUGUUCUUGAUAUAUUAGUGAAGGGAAAUAAGAGAAAAUGAUAGGAAAUAUUGUAGAGAAUAGAAAUAAGGGUGUUAUAAACUUGGUAAUCAAUAUGUUGCACUAAAAUAGUUUUGGACAGCAGCAAUAGUUAAACUUUGAAAAAUCACCAAAAAUUGUGGAAAUUUAAUUAUAGGUUGAAUAAAAUAUGAAAUUAAAUUUUAUUGAAUCUAAGUUUUCAUAGAAGAAACUGUGUAAGCAAUUAACGGAAUUGUAAAUUGUGAGAUAUAAUAAAUUUUAUGAGACAAGGUCAGAAUAAUUUUGAGUUCUCCUAUUUUGAAUUUGGAAAAUCAUCAAAGAUUGAAUAAAAAAUAAUUAGGGGCUUAAAUUUAUAUUUUUAGAAUCCUAAAUGAGUCUAUUUUCAAUAGAAAGAAACAGGAACUUCAUUUGAAUCCUGUACGAGGAGAUAAUUAAUUUUUAGCGUAGAAGGGUCGAAACUAUCAGACAACAGAAAAUGAGUGAUUUUAAAGAAUAAACUGUACUUAUUGGCUAAACCAAAAAUUCUAAAAAUUUUAUGGUAAGAAGAUAUGUGAGCCUAGUUUUAGAAACAUCAAGCAGUUCUUAAUUUAGAAUUCUGUAGCUCAAGAUAUAAAUAAUUUAGUAACUAUAACUCAAGUAGACAACUUGAUAUGAACAUAUGAGAAAAUAGUGGAAUUAUAUAUACAUUAAGGAUAUGGGAUGGAGAGGAGGAGGAGGAAAAUAUAUAUGAAUAUUUAGUUUGCAUGGGUUACAUUAAAGUGGUUAAUUUGUAUGUUUUAGGCUUGGGGACUAAAUUAAAUAAAAGUAAAACUUUAAGGGUAAUUUUAUAAAAACAUCAAAAAUAACCAAAUUGAGUGAAAUGAAUUAUUUUAUUGUCUAAAUUAAUAAAUUGAAUGAAAUUAUUAAUUUAGAUCAAGAUUGGUUGAAAAAUUUAGAAAAAUAGAAAAUUACCAAAAUGCCCCUGAAUAUAAGUAUUUCUGCAAUUUAGCCAGACAAGUUUGUGAGACCUAAUUAUGUGAUACAAGGAAAUAUAAGUUGAUGGUACAUUAAAUAUUGAUAAUAUGAAUUAACUGAUUUAUGUUUAUGAAGAAACGGUAAGAGAAUGAUAUUUAUCAUGACAUGUAAAUAUGUGAUUAUUUUUGAUACUUUGAUACAAGGAAAAUAAGUAUGUUUAGGGGGCAAUAUGUUUGAUUUUGAUUGGUCCCAAAUAUGAAUGCUAGAUGAAAUAAAAUGUCUGAUAAAUAAAUUUGUAACUCCGGUAAUGCCUUAUACCCUAUUCCGGUGACAGAUACGGGUAGGGGGUGUUACAUUUAUUGGUAUCAGAGCAACGGUUUAGUCGAUUCUCGGGCCAAACGUGGCAUAUGUGAAGUCUAGAAAUACAUGCCAUUAUAUACCUCUGAUAAUGUGAUAUCUUCCGACUCGGAUGAGAUUUGUUUUACUUAAAGAUAGAGAUGCUUUCCCAAUCGAGCUAGUUCCGAUAAUGUUGAAAGUGAUACUAAAAUAUAUGAGUAAAAGUUGAUUAUGGUGAGUCGGAACUCAUAAAGGUAUGAAUAAAUGUUAUAUUUAAAUUUAUGUGUAUAGUAAGUAAAAUUUUAAAGUAAGUAUUAAUAUUGAAUUGAAUUUGUAUGGAUAUAUGUGAUUGAUGUGGAAAUAGAAUAUUGGAUAUAUUUUAUAUUUGAAAAUUUUAUUGAUUGGAAAUGUGAUGAAUUGAUACGAAUAUGUGAUUAUUACGAAAUUUGAAUAUUUGUUAUUGAAAAAUGAAUUGAAUUGUAUUGAAUUGAGAAUGUAUGUGAUUAAUUGAAAUGUGUAUUGAUUGGAAACUGGAAAGUGAAUUGAAUACCCUAUUAACUGUACCCGGCUGAGUCGGAUAUAGUUGGCAUGCCAUAGGAUUGGAAGUGUUUAGGGAUACUUCAACCUUGAGUCGAUGAGGCACUAUAAGUGUCGUACUGUUACUUCGACUUUGAGUCGAUGAGGCACCUUGUGUGUUCUAUUGCUACUGUUACUUUGGUUUAAUCCGAUGAGGUACUGAGUACCGUACUAUUACUGUUUUACUUCGGCAAAACCGAUGAGGCAUUGAGUGCCGUACUGGUGUGUUGGUUGGAUCCGUGUAUCCACCAAAGUCCGAGUCUUAUUAAUAGGGGUAAAUAUGAAUAUUAAGUGAAAUUGAAAUGAGAAUUGAAUGCCCUAUUAACUUGUCGGGCUAGUCGGAUAUAAUUGGCAUGCCAUAGGAUUUAGAAGAGUACGGGAUUUAUUGGCUUUGCCGAUCAGACACUUUAUGUGUCAUGAUUCAGGCACCUCAUGCGUCGUAUUAGACACCUCGUGUGUCAUUUCAGGCACUUAUGUGUCGUAUACUGAUCAGGUACUAUGUACCAUUUUAGGCACAAUGUGCCGUACUAGUGUUUUUAGGUUGGAAUCGGUGUAUGGAACAUCCUGAUUUUGGGCCUAGUCAGAAUAGUGAUCUCGAGACCACAAAUUCAGAGCCAAAUAAUUUAUUCCAUUAUUAUUUUGAUGUUAUAGCAUGAUUAUAUUAAUGCAUGGAAUAUUUGGUAAAGUAAUUUUAACGUUUGUGAGCCCAAUUGUGAAAAAGGACUAAAUCGUAUAAAGUGAAAAAGUCCUAAAUUGAUAGCUAAAGGUGUCAAAUAGCUAGAGAAUAAAUAUUGGGGGCCUUUAAAGGGCAAUUAGACCCUUAGAAAUAGGGUGGCCGGCCAUAGGGGACAACGAAUUGAAAAUUUUUAAUGUUAGGUAAUUGAUUUUUGACUAAAGUAGAAAUAAAAUAAUCAAAGGAUGAUAUCAUCUCUUUCACCUCUCCUUCUUCACUGAUUUUUCCAGAAAAAAUAGGGCUUUGGGAGCUUUAAAUUUCUGCUACUUAGUUGACUCACAAGUAAGUGAUUUCCAUACCCUUUGUUGAUGAUUUUUUGCAUUUUUAGAACCCUUAUAGCAUAACCUUUCAAAUGAGGGUACUAUUUUGCAAAAUGAUUAAGAGUUUAAGGUUUUUCCAUGAAAGGAUUUGUAAUGUUUGUUGAAUUUUUAUGGAAGAAAAUGAGUCUUGGGUGUCUUAUAAACAACUUUUGUGAAAGGUGUUAGCAUGAAAACACCUAAAAGGACUAUUUUGAAUAAGUUGUAAAAUAGAUGAUAAUUGUGUGAAAUAGUGAGAAUUUGGAGUUGUUAUAAGAGUAGAAAGGGUUCGGCUAGGCUUAAGGUGUGGAGAAAUCUAAUAAAAAUCAUUUUUUGGGCUUAGGGGUAAAAUGGUCAUUUUGCAAAAGUCUAGGGGCAAACUGCUCAUUUUGCCCAAUUAUGAAUUGUAGAGUGCCUAGAUUGAUAAAGUGACUAAAUAAGUGCAUUUUGUUAUUAUAGAUCAAGAAAUAUCGAAUCAAAACCUAGACAAGGGGAAAGCCAAGCAAAUUGACUAAAUCGACUAGUCGCCACAUUUUGUAAUCCGAGGUAAGUUGCAUGUAAGUAGUAAAACUACAUAAGUAAUAUAUGUAUUUGAAUUGUAUUGAAAUUAUUAUAUCAUAAAUUUCUUGAUUAUGGAAAUGAGAAAAUGUGAUGAGAAUAGAGAUAGUAGAUUCCCGAUUGAAUUUUAGGAAAUAAAUCGAAUAUUCAUGCCAUGACGUUUGGGUCACUUGUGUGAGCUAGUGUAAGAAAUGCUGGGACAUGCAUCGACCACAUUAUGAGAGCCAGUGUAAGACCUCGACAUUAAGACAAUUGCUAGUGUAAGACAUGUCUGAGACAUUCAUCGGCCUUGAGAUGUAAGCCAGUGUAAGACAUGUCUAGGACAUGCAUCGUCUAUGAAAUGUGUCAGUGUAAGGCCAUGUCUGGAACAUGGCAUCAGCAACUUACCCCAUGAUUGAGGCUUAUAGAAUAUCCAAUAAUGUUCCAGAUGGUUCAACGGUGAAAGUUAAGAUUUAAAGUUAAUGAGAAAAAUAUAACAGUGUUGUGAGUGGUACAUGUACCUAUUUGGUAUGUAGGAAAUGUGAGCUCAAUAUAUGUUAUAUGACGUGUAGUGAAUAUUAAUGAGUAAGUUUUGCUCAUGCCCAUUUGUGUAUUCUGAUGCUUGAUGAUGAAUGGUAAAAUUAUGUUGUAUAUUUCUUUAUGUGCAACUUACUAAGCUUUAUGCUUACUCCCUUUCCUUUUUCGUUUCCUUAUAGCGCCACCUAUCUAGCUCAAGGAUCAACAGAAGUUAGAGAUAUCAAUCACACUAUCAAUCAAAGCCUUCGGUAUAGUUUGAUUUAUAUUUUUGAAUAUGGCAUGUAUAGGGAAUUAGGCUUGUGUUUUUGGGUUAUUAUUAAUUUGGCCAAAAUGUUGGCUUGGGAUAAAUCCCUCAUUUUGUAUUAAGCCUUGAAUGAUGGCUAACAUUCAUUUUAAUUUAUAUACAAAGAUGUUAUUUUCAUAGAUGAGUGAAAUGCACAAAUAGAAUGUUAUCUAUUGUGGCUGAUUUGGUUGCAUGAGAUAGUCUUAUAAUGGUUUUGGUUGCUUUUGUGUAGGUUGUGUAAGUAAGGGUGGCAAAGAGGCUUGAUAAAUAGCCUUAUAUUGUCCACACGGGUGUGUGUCUAGGUCGUGUGUGACACACGGUCUGCCCUUUGGUAGUGUGGUCCGGCCAUGUGUCCCCUGCACGUAAAAUUUUCAAGUAGUAUGCAUGGUAGUAAACACACAGGCACAGACACGGCUGUGUAUCUCAGCUGUGUGAUGGACACGGCCUAGCACACGGGUGUGUGCCUUGGCCGUGUGACAUUUUGGGGUUGUUGACGUCAGAAACAGAAUGUCCAUGUUUUUUGCACACGGGCUAGGACACAGACGUGUGCCAGGCCGUGUGAAAACCCCUGUAGGUGUGCAUUUAGAAUUAAUUCCACACGGGUGUCGGACACGGGCGUGUCACUGUAUUGCUUAGGCCAUGUGAGCCACACGGGCCAUCAACACGACCAUGUUGAAAUGGCCACAUGGGCGUGUUUCCCUUCUACACGGGCGUGUGCCCUAUUUCAAAGUCAAAUUUUCUAUAGAUGGUUUAAGAACCCGGAUUGAUCCCGAAUAGUUUUCAAUGGUCGAUUUAGGGCUCGUAGGCCCAUAAUAAGAAGUUUAAAGUAGAAAUUGAAAAUGUUUUAAAUUGGACCAAGUCUUGGUGACUUGAGGAAUGUUUGUUUGCAUGAGAUCGAGUUUGGUAAUGCCUCAUAUUUCGUUCCGACGUGGGUUACGAGUAUGGGGUGUUACAGUGUAUUCGUCAAAGUCCGGAUUGGUUAAUAGGGUGAAUAAUUGAAAUGAGAAAAUUAAAUAAAUGUGAUUGAUCAUACUAUUAAAAAUAUGAGAAAGAAAUUAUGAGUUGAAUUGCGAAUUGAUUUGAGAUGUGAGAUUUGAAGCAUGAACUUAAGGUUCAUGAAUUUGCUAAAAUAUCAAAUUGUUGAUAUUGAAAUCAGUUGAAUAAAUGAAAUGAGAAAUUCAAAUGAAUUUGAUCGAUUGAACUAUUGAAAGUAUGAAAAAGUGGAAUUAUGAAUUGAAAUGUGAAUUGAAAUUAAGAUAUACGAUUGAAGCUUGAACCAAAGGUUCAUGAUUUGAUUAAAGAUACUAUAGAUUACAUAUGAUGCCAUUUGAUGAAAGACUAUUGUUGAGAUAUGAAAUUAAAGUAUAAAUUAACACAUAUGACUUAUGUUGUUACAUGUUUGAUGUUUAUUAUUUAUUAUAGUUUUUAUAAUUUGAAUUAUGGUAAUACCAUUGAGUAUAGACAUACUCAGCGUACGGUUGUAUUACUACAAUUCAAAUUAUUCAUUAUUAAAUGUUAAAUGUUAAAUGUUAAAUUAUGUGUAUGGUAAAUGAAGUAUGAGGUAAGUGUUAUUGUUGAAUUGAAUGGAAAUUGAAUUGAGUGAUGGAUAAAUAUUAGUAUUGAAUUGUAUAUUGAUGAGAAAGUGAAAUUAAAUUGAGUUGUGAAUAAAUUGAAAGUGAAAUUGGAAUUGAAAAGUGAUAUAUGAAGUACAUGGUAAGAAUUAUUAGUAAAUUACGAAUGACUAGUGAAUUUUGAAAUAUAUUACAUGUAUUAAAAUAGAGAAUAUAUAAAUAUAUAGAUUAUUGGUACAAGGAUUAAAUUGUAAAGUAUUUAAAUGUAUGAAAUUCAGUUUGAUGCUCAAGUAGACGGAAUUUAGAACUACUAUGAUAUUAUGGCAUGCCAUUAAGGAACUCUAGCGCGCUAUCUGAUUAUUAGUACGUUAGUGCUCUCUGAUUAUUAGCACAUUAGUGCUCUCCGUUUAGCACAUCUGUGCUCUCUGUAUAGCACUUUAAUGCUCUCUGUAUAAUAGUGCAUAAUAAUGCACCUCUGUAUUAGUUCCGUAUAUCUAAAGUGUUCUGUUCAAGUUAUUGGGCCUUUGUUAGACAGUUAAAUAAUUUUUGUUACAAGGUAAAGAAUUAUCUCUGAUUUAAGUUUGAAAAAUUGAAUUAAAAAUAAAUUGUGAAAUAAAAUGAUGGAGAAUGGAUAUAAAUGAUAAACUAGAUAAAUAUAUACAGAAAGGAAGUAUAGAAUUACAGAGAUAAUGAAGUUUAUGAUCAAAAGAAAACAAUGAAAUUUCGAGGAUGAAAUUUAUUUUAAGUGAGAGAGAAAUGUAAUACCCUGAAAAUUACUACAGUAAGAAAGUAAGAUAUUAUCCUUGAUAUAGUUAAGUAAGGAAAUAAAGUGACAAAAAGGGAAAUUUUAUUAUGUCAACAUUGGCAAGUAUAUUAUGAUAAAUUACAUUAUUAAUUCAAGAAAGGACAAAAUUUUAAAAGUGAGAAAAAUUUUGUUUCCCAAGAGUAAAUACUCAAAAUUUGAAGGGUUAAAGUGUAAAUAUAAAAAAUUUGAAGGACAAAUAGUGAAAAUAUUUUAGGGGUGGAAUAAUCUAGAAACUAAGGAAAAUGGAUGAAUUAGGACCAAAUCGAAUAGGUGAAGAAUUAUGAGGGUCUAAAUCUUAAUUUUCUAAAAUUAAGUGAUGACUUAAUGAUGGAAUUUUAAAAGGUUAUUAAGGGCAAAAUGGUCAAUUAGUAAGAGAGAGAAUUCUAGAAUGUAAUGAUUAUGAUUGAUGAUAUUUUAAAUUAAUUAAUUAGAUAAAUAUUAUUUUAUUAAUAUUUUAAUAAUAUAUUAAUGAUUAUUUUAUUAUUUUAUUUACUAUAUAUAUGUGUGUGUGUGGAAAAAAAAACAUACACACACACACACACACCCACCAUCUAUCAUCUUUCCAUGCAUUUCACAUUGCUUUCUUUACAAUUUAGUCAUUCCACCAAAAAGUUACCAUUUUCACCUAGAAAUCAAAAGAAUGUCAUAGCCACUAAGAGAGAAAAAUGUUAAGGAGACUAAGGGGAGUUAGAAUAUCAAGUUGGAUUCAAGAAAUAGAAGCUGGAGGAGAAAGAAAAUUCAAGUUAAAGAUUGAAAUCAAUAGGACAAUGUAAGAACAUUAAGACUUCAAUAUAUUUUAAGUAGAGUUUCUCAUGUAAGGUAAUAUCAAAAGCAUGAAAAUGAUGUUAAGGUAGAGUUUUCUUAUAUAAGGUUCUACGUUCUUGAUAUAUUAGCGAAGGGAAAUAAGAGAAAAUAAUGGGAAAUAUUGUAGAGAAUGGGAAUAAGGGUGUUAUAAACUUGGUAAUCAAUAUGUUGCACUAAAACAGUUUUGGACAGCAACAGUAGUUAAAUUUUGAAAAUCACCAAAAAUUGUAGAAAUUGAUUUAUAGGUUGAAUAAAAUGAAAUUAAAUUUUAUUGAGUCUAAUAUUUCAUAGAAGAAACGGGGUAAGAAAUGAAAUUGUAAAUUGUGAUAUCUAAUAAAUUUUAUGAGACAAGGUCAGAAUAAUUUCGAGUUCCCCUGUUAUGACUUUGGAAAAUCAUAAAAAAUUGAAUAAAAAUAAUUAGGGCUUAAAUUUAUAUUUUAUAAUCCUGAAUGAGUCUAUUUUGAACAGAAACAAAUGGGAACUCCAUUCGAAUCCUAUACAAGGAGAUAAUUAAUUUGUAGUGUAGAAGGGUCGGAACUAUCAAACAGCAGAACAAAGGUGACUUUAAAGAAUAAACUGUACUUAUUGGCUAAAGAAAAAAUUCUAAAAUUUUUCUGGUAAAAAUAUAUGUGAGUCUAGUUAUAGAAACAUCAAGCUUUUCUUAAUUUAGAAUUCUGUGGCUCAAGAUAUAAAUAAUUUAGUGACUAUGACUCAAGUGGACAACUUAAUAUGAACAUAUGAGAAAAUAGUGGAAUUAUAUAUACAUUAAGGAUAUGGAAUGGAGAGGAGGAGGAGGAAAAUAUAUAUGAAUAUUUGGUUAGCAUGGGUUACAUUAAAGUGGUUAAUUUGCAUGUUUUAGGCUCGGGGACUAAAUUGAAUAAAAGUAAAACUUUAGGGAAAUUUUGUAAUAAUAUCAAAAAUAACCAAAUUGAGUGAAAUGAAUUAUUUUAUUAUAUAAAUUAAAAAAUUGAACGAUAUUAUUAAUUUAGAUCAAGAUUGGUUGAAAAAUCGAGGAAAAUAGAAAAUUACCGAAAUGCCCCUAAAUAUUAGUAUUUUUUCAAUUUAGCCAGAUAAGUUCGUGAAACCUAAUUAUGUGAUAUAAGGAAAUAUAAGUUGAUGGUACAUGAAAUAUUGAUAUAAUGAAUUAUCUGAUUUAUGUUUAUGAAAAAACGGUAAGAGAAUGAUAUUUAUCAUGACAUGUAAAUAUGUGAUUGUUUUUGAUACGUUGAUACAAGGAAAAUAAGUAUGUUUAGGGGCAAUAUGUUUGAUUUUGAUUGGUCCCAAAUAUGAAUGCUAGAUAAAAUAAAAUAUCUGAUAAAUAAAUUUUUAAAUCCGGUAAUGCCUCGUAUUCUGUUCUGGUGAAGGAUACGGGUAGGUGGUGUUACAAAUUUGAUAAAAAAUUCUGAAUUUUUAUGAAUACAUGUGCUGUAAAAUUUGUAAUGGAAUUUUGGUUACACUUGGAAUAGGGAGUAAAUUACACAAGUUUCAUUUUUUAAGCCUAGGGACGAAAUGGGAAUUUAUAGAAAAGUUAGGGGCAAAAUGGUAAUUUUUCCUAUGAUGAAAAUUAAGUCCACUUGAAUGUGAAAUAUGGUAAAUUGAUGUUAAAUUUACUCGUAUAGAUCAAGAUAGACCAAAUUCGAAGCUAGAACAAGGAAAGAGGAAAAUGUCAGAUUAGUAGAUUUUGUGUACACGAAUAUUGUCGAGGUAAGUUUGUGUAACUAAAUUAUGUUUAUUUACAUGCUUGCAUUGACUGUAUUUAUGUAAAUUGUAUAAAUGUCAUAAAUAUGUGAAAUGAUUGCAUAUCCGAUCAAGCCCGAUAAAUGAAAAUCUUUAAAUUAGAUGAUAAUGCCUGAUAAAUGAUAAACGAUAAAAAUGUUACUUAUGUGCUUGAAAUAGAUGUGAAAUGUGUUUAUUUGAAUUAUAUGAAUGUUGUGGAUGCAUGAAAUAACCACAUGCCCGAUAAUGCUUAAGAAAAAUGUUUAAAUCCCGGUUGAAUAAAAUGGAAAAUUGGUGGAUAUGUGAUUUCUCGAAAUGAAUGAGGUAUUGUAUUUGUUGCUGACGGGAUUUAACUCGGACGAGUAAUCCUGUUGACCUCAUUACAGAAAGGAUUUAGCCCGAACGGAUAAUGCUAAUAUAAGUCCUCUCGAACAUAUGUUAUGGAUUAGAUUUAGCCCAGACGGGUAAUUCAGAUCAAGCUCCUUAGAGCAUAUGUCAUAAAAAUGAUUUAGCUUGGACUAAUAAUCCUGUUGUAUACAUGUGUGGCUUGAGAGUGUACUCCUUGAAAUAGUACCUUAUAGGUUCCAUUGAAUAUGAAUUGACGAAUCCUGAUUUGUACACCAUGAGUGUACUACCUGUGUAUCCAUCGAUAUUUCAGAUAAAUUCAACGAGUAAAAGUUCUUGACAUGAAAAGAUAUGAAUAAGAAAUGAGUUAUUACACAUAUCGGCCUGAAAUACAUGAAAAUGACGAUACGUGAUAAUUGAUAUAUGAAAAUAUGAAAUGACAAUAUUGUAUAUGGAAUUUAUUUGAUGAGUAUGUACAUCCUUGAUUAUAGACUUGUACACCUUGAGUGUACUAAUCAUGACCUUGAUAUUCCGAGUAUUAUGAGUAAAGUUCUGAUAUGAAAUGAUCUGAACUCAAAAUGAACUAGUAUGAAAUUAUACUUGUAAUAAUGAGAUAAAUUAUGCAUGUUGAAUGAAUACAUGUUGUGGAAAGCAUAUGUGCUUGGAAUCUUGAUUGUUGUUGAGCCUAUAUAUGUUUUGAUGUUAUUAUGGAUUAUAUGACUAACAAGGACAAUGAGGAUGUGUGUGUAGGGCUUGAGGUCAAAUUGAUUAAAUAUGCCUUACAUAGUUACCUCAUAAUAGAACGAAUGGUAAGUUAAGUACCAUGUUAUACGAAAUUACUACGCAUUUUAUGCUUACUUAGUUUUAUUUCCCUAUUUUAUAGUAAAUCGAAAGCUCGUUGGAUUGGAAGCUUGGCAGAGAGCACUCACACUAUCUAUCAGCCCAUGUCGGUACAAUAUGGUAAAUCAAUUAUGGUUGUAAUGGCAUAUAUAGGAUAUAUGGGCCAUAUUGGCAUGUAAAUGUAAUUGAUGCUUGGAAUCUAGCCAUUGGAAUGGCUAAUAUUGGUUUGUUUUAAUAUACUUGUAAUGUCAGGCUAUGGUAGCUACAUAUAAUUUAGGUAGUUGAUCAAAUUAUAUCUUACUUGAGGGCUUAACUAAGGUAAGAUUAUAGACAUGUAUGCAUGAAAUGAUAUGCCAUGAUGAAUGAUAGAAUUUGCUUGAUUUGAAUGCUUGAAAUGGUUGGUAUUUGGAUGUGUCAUUCAAGUGCAGGUUAUGGGAGUGAUUUUGGGUGAGAAAUAAAGAUAGGAAGCUUUAUUUUGUCCACAUGGGCAGACACACGGGCGUGUGUCUAGACCGUGUGUGCCACAAGGCUGGAUACAUGGGCGUGUAGUUAGGUCGUGUGUCCUCUGUACCUUAAAUUCGAGAAAAUAGAAUGCUCAAAAUUGAGCACACGGGCAGAGACAUGGACGUGUGUCUUAGCCGUGUGAUACUGCACCUAAUUUCAAAUUGAAUUAAUUAACCACACGGCCUAGCACACGGGCGUGUGGCAUGGCCGUGUGCAAAGUUAGAGAGUUACACGGGGUUAAACAUGGCCUCUAGCACGGGCGUGUCCUAGGGUCACACAGGCGUGUCCCUUGGACCACACAGGCAUGUGAGCCCAGCACCUUGGAAAAAUUUUGAAAUUUCACGAAAAAUUCUUAGAGAUUCUGAUUAAGUCCAGACUCGAUUCUAAUGCUCGUAUUGGACCUCGAGGGUCCAUUUAAGGGACGUUUUGAAUUAUCUUAAUAAAUAAAUAGUGAAUAACAUGAAAUGUCUGUAAAUGUUCUGAAAAUCUCCGGUAACACUCUGUAACCCUAUUUUAGUAUCAGAUACGAGUUAGGGGUGUUACAUUUAGUGGUAUCAGAGCUACGAUUUAGUCGGCUCUCGAACUGAACUUAGCGUAUGUGGAGUUUAGAAAUAAAUGCCAUUAUAUAACCUGUGAUAGUGUGAUUGUAACAGUCUAAUUUAGACUCUAGUCGGAACAGUGGUUUCGAGACCACGUAACCUAUUUUAAAAAAUAUUUUAAUAUUAUUUUCUAUGUCUGUGAUAUGAAUUUAUAUCUAUGAAGUUUCUGUAAUUUAAUUUUUCUGUUUUUGUGCUUAAUUAUGAUAAAGGAUUAAAUCGCGUCAAAUGCAAAAGUUUCAUGCUAAUUAUUAAUGGGGUUAAUUGGCCUUGGCUUUUAAAAUAAGGGUCCUUGUAUGGUAAUUAUGCCAUAAAUAAGGGUAAUGGACAUUCAUGGACAUAUGGUAGGUGAAUUUUAAUGUUAAUAACUAAAGGGUAAUAUGGUAAUUGGUGUAAUAAGUUAAAUUUAAUAAAAUAAAGGCCAUUGUAUGUUUAUUUUCUCAUCAUCUUCAACCGAUUACAGAGAAAAGAAACAACCAUUGAAGCUUUGUGAUAUUCGACUAUUGCAUGAUUAAUUAGGUGAGAUAUUUUGCUCAGUUUUUGAUAAUUUCUACUUUUCAGUGAUCGUUGCUUCGUGUUCUUGAAAACCCAUGUCUGAAUUUCUGUUGAAGAUUUUGAAAUGUGCCAUUGAUGAUUGUAUGAGCUUUGUAAUGUUUUUAUAUGGAUUAUGAAACAUAUAUGUGAGAUUAUCAUACUUUGUUCUUGAAUUUUUGAUGGAAUAGAGCUAUUUGGGCUAAUUUGUGAAAAUGAGGUUUUGAAGGACUAAAUUGUGAAUUAGAUAUGUUAUUUGGAUUGUAUGGAAGCUAUGUAUAAUCAGCCAAGCUAUAGUUUUGGUGAAUUUUGCAUAUUUGUGAUUUUGUGAAAAAUGGACUAAAUUGUCAAAGUGUGAAAAUGUAAGGGCUAAAAUGUAAAGUGCCAUAUAUAUGUGUUCAUGGAUUAUUUUGAAUGAAAUUAAUGAUUGAUUGGUUGAAUUUGAAUUGUAUUAGAUCAAGAACAAAGAAAAUCAGACUUAGAUCGAGGGAAGUCCAAAAUAGUUGAAUAGUCGACUCGUUUCCGUCCGAAAUUCGUUCGAGGUAAGUCAAAAUACAAUUACAUGUUAAAUUGAUUGAAUGUUGUAUAUACUAGUUAUAAUCUAUAUUAGACAGCUGUGAGAGUCUGAUGAAUGAAUUUCGUGUAAAUUCCGAUAAUAUACUAGUAUUUGAAAAGCUCGAUAUGUUUCUAAAGGAACAUUGACAUCGAUUUGAGAUAUCGUGUAAGACCGUGUCCGAGACACAGGCCUCGAUUUGAGAUUUACAUGUAAGACCAUGUCUGGGACAUCGGCAUCAUAUCUGAUUUCGUGUAAGACCCUAUCUGGGACAGAGGCAUCGAUAUUGAAUUACAUGUAAGACCACGUCCGGGACGUCGGCAUUGUAUCUGUUUAUGAGUAUCUGUAUCGUUUCUGAACUGUCUAAUGAUAGAGUACGAGUUAUGGAAAUGAAUAUAUGAAAUGUAUAAUCUAUACAGGUACGUUUGUAUCGUAUGAAAUUUCUGAAUAUGAAAGACUCUGUUUCUGUGAAAUAAUGAAUGCGGUGUAAGCACGAAAUCAUAGAAAUGAAACAUGACAUGUAUACAAGCAAAUGAGUAUGGUUAGGCUCAUGAAUUGCUCUGUGAAAUGGCUAUGAAUUCUUACUAUUGAUUUUUACUUUAUAUGCUUUAAUAGUUAGACCAAUUGUAUGUGGCUUACUAAGCUCUUUGUAGCUUAUUCUGUGUGAUUUCUGUCUGUCUUACAGUUAUCGUAGCUACUGAAGGCUCGGGGAUAGUCGAGGAUUGUCACCACACUAUCGAACUCAUUUUGGUACUUUUGGAAGUGUAAAUAUUUUAAAGUAUGACAUGUAUAGGCUAGAAUGUUUAUGUAUUUAAGCUUUGAUAUGUAUAUAUGUUAUGCCAUGAGAGUUGGCUAGCAAAUGGUAUGUUUGUGCUUAGUUUUGGUAAAUGGUUUGUGAUGCCAAAUUGUGUAUGCUUGUAAUGGUUAUAUGGCCUUGUAUGUAGUUGUAACGCCCCAAAAAUUGGGCCUAGAAGAGUUGGACUUUGAGUCUGGGAUUCGGAUAGAAGGAAACCUGAAUAUUGAGGAGUUUUAAAUAUUACUAGUGUUUAAAAAUAUAUAUAUUGAUAAAAUAUUUAUGUUAUUACUAAUAUUUUAAUUUUUAUAAAAAUUAUUAUCAUUAUAAUUAUUAGAUACAAAUAUAUUUAUAAAAUUAUUGUUGUUAAUUUAGUGUUUAAAUUAAAUUAUUAUUAGAAAAUUUUACUUUAUCUAUUUUUAUUGAUUUAUGGAAAUUAUAAUUAUUAUUAUUAGGAAAAAAUAUAUAUAUUAUUGUAGUUGAAAUUUUCAUUAUUAUGGUUAUUAUUAUUAUUAUUUUAGUUUUUAAAUAAAUUUAGAAGCAUUUAAAGUGUGGGAAAGAUUCGGUCCAAGACUCUAGCAAAAAUUAUUAUUUUUGUUUCUUUAGGGGAUCUGGGAAGUAAGGUUUAUUAAUAAGUUGGGCUAAAAUUGGACAUAAGGAGGAGCCUGGCCUUGUGGUUAGGCUUGUUAAGCAGUAGGAAGGGAGCAGGGGUUCGAUUCCCUGUGUGCGCAAAUGUGGGUUUUUAUUUUAGAAAAACCAAGGGCUGUCGCAGGUAGGCCUUAUUAAAUGUUCAGGCUAAUUCAUGUCAGAAGCAAGCAUCUGGCCUAGUGGCUAAAUAUGCUAGGAGGGCAGAGGAGGAGCCUGGGUUCAAGGCAUGGCGUGCGCAAUUUGGGUUGUUUUUAAUAUGCAGAUCGCGGCUAGAAUAAGGGUUAAGAGCAGUUGUGGGUAUAUUCAACACAAAGAGAGCUUGUGGCGCAGUAGCAGUAGCGUGCUAGACAUAUGGAGAGGGUGCAGGUUCGAUUCCGUACGCGAGCGAAUUUUGUUUUAUUUUUAAAAUGGACGAGGCUACAGCAGGUAAGGUUUAAUAAUUUAUGCUACGCUAUUAUAUUAAGAACAAGGUCGCGUCCUAGUGGAUGGCAGCAUGCGUGGGAGCUCGGAGGUCCCGUGUUUGAGCUAUCUUACGUGUAAAUAAAUUACAAUUUUGCUGCACGUGGGGAAGGUAUUUGAACUGGACCGAAACACCCAGACCUUGAUUGGAAUUUGAAUUAAGCAGGUUACUGUACGGGGAAAGAAUUUGGGUGUAAUUCAAAUUAAAAUUUUGGAAAAAAUUAAGGAAGGAAUUUUAAUUGAAUUCAAAUUAGAAGGAGGUGGGGUAAGUAUUUAAGCCAACUAGGGGGUGUUAGUUGGGGAGUUUUUUGGCUAGUCUCUUGGAUUUGAGUAAAUUAGCCAUUGCUGAUUUUUGUUCCAUUUGAUUGUUUUUUUCUUCAGUAUAUAUUUGGGGUAUUUUAGAAUAUUUCCUUUGGGUUUUGAUAUUUUCUCUUCUUCCAUUCCCUUUCCUUCUUCUUUUCUUUUCUAUUUCUCUCCAUUUACUUUCUCCUCUUCUUUUUCUUUUUACCUCUAUAGCUAAAUCUUCCUAUCAUCCUGUACAUCUCCAUCUUUUAUCAGUCGUUUCUAGACCUUCAUAACCAUUUGUCAUAAAAAUUCGAAAUCCCAAAAGCCUAUAUUUUCUUCUGUGCCUAUUUUUCCUAGCCAAAUCUUUUUACUUCUCUUCAUCAUUCUUGAUCGAUACUCUAGUCCUCUAAACCCCAAGUUUCUGUCAACAAAGCCAUUACAAAAUCCUUAUCUUUUCUUCAUUGUUACAAAAAGCCAAAAACGCAUAGCCAUAGGGACACAACCGAAUUUUAAGAUCACUGAAGGCUCAACUUUUGUUAUCAUUUGAGGGCUUAGAACUGCAUCAGAAUCGAGUAGGAAUUAAGGGGAAUCGUUGACUGAAGGAAUCGGUGGUAAGUCCUUCCAACCUAGUCUUUAUUUCGUAUUUUAGAAAAAGCCAAAACCCCUAAAGGUUAGGGAGGCUGUCGAUUUGGGUUUAUAGCCCUAAGGGGUUGUGGUAACUGUUUUAUCUUGAUGAUAGUGUGAUCUAGAGGCUGCUGAUUAAAGGCUUGGACAAGGGGAACAAGUGGAUCUAAAUCUAGUCGCUAACUUCGGCAAAGGUAAGAUUGCUAGUGCCUAAGGUGUUAUUGGCCGAAUAAGGUAAGGGAUUAAUAUGUAGUUCAUUUCGGUAGUUAGAUUAACGUGGUAGUAAUAUAAUUGUAGGCAGUGCGUGCGUGGAUCUCGUCAACGAAUCGUCAUAAAACAGGUGUGUAAACGACACCCACUCUUAGACUAGAUCGGUAAAAGUCGAAAAGCCGAAAAGCUGAAAAGUCGGCAUUUGUGAAGUUGCGAGCGUGCGAGCGCUCGUGAGGUGGUUUGGUUGGUAAUUUUGGUAAUCGCAAGUAGUAUGAUUGCAGAGUGCGCAAUUCGUGCACUUCGGUAUAUUUAGGCUUAAUGGGCUGAAAACGGGUUAGUGGGUCAAUGGGCCCAAUUCGAUAAAAACGCUCGAUAAGUGCUUCUGUUAAUGUGUUAAUGGUUAGAAUAUGUAUGUAAACUCUAGAAUAGUAAAUUUUAUUAAAAUACGCCUAAGUAUGAAAAUUAUCAUUUUACCCCUAGGUGCAAAAUGACCGUUAUACCCUUAGGGUUAAUUUUGACUGAAAUACAUGAUAUUCUGAUUCUGUUUGUUAUAUGCCAUGACAUGUAUAUCUGUUGCAUGGGGUUGGGUUUUGUUAUGGAGGAAGAACCCGUUCUGGUGGCUGUGCCACAUAUUCUGAUAUAAGCAGUUUUGCUGCGGAUUAUAGUUAGUGCCGUAACCGGUGCUAACACUGUAAGUGUAGGGAUGGCGUGGGUGAUUUAUUCCCCACAGGAAGUGUAGGGAUGGACGGAGGCAAGUGCAGGGUUGGAUGGGGUUAUCAUGCAUUAAUCAUAUGAGACUAUUUUGUUAUGGGCCAACUGUAUUAAAAUGGGCCCAACUGUGUUGAUAUGGGCAAGGCCCAAUAUAUCUUGACUCGUAACAGGGCGACGACCCAGAUUAAUACUGAUAUGGGCUAGGCCGAAUAUACUCUGAUACUGUAAGGGGCUAUGGCCCAGAUUAAUAUUGAUAUGGGCUGAGGUCCAGUUAACACUGAUUUCUGAAUAGGGCUUAGGCCCAGUAAAGCUUGAACUGAUUUGGGCUCUGGUUGGGAUACUUUACACACUAAGUUUUCCAAACUCACCCCCCACUUUUCCCAUCUUUGCAGGUGAGCCUUAGAUCGAUGGACUUGGAGCUGGACGGGGUUCAGAGAGGCCACGAAGAUUAAGUUUCUGUUUUCUUUAAAAUAAGUUUCGCAUUUAUUAUUUUGAUUAUUUUUUUUAUUCUGGUUUAAGUUGUGAUAAGGUGUUCUUUUUAUGAUUUUUAAUAUUUUAGGUUAUUAAAUUGGUUAGCUCUAGGGCGCGUUUUAUAAAAGUUACUUAUUUUCAAAAUAUCACGAUUACCGAGCAAAGCUUCCGCAACGUAAAUGUUUUCAAAGGAAAUAAAUAUUUUAAAUAGACUUAAACUUAAUUUGUUGUUCGUGGACAAGCAAUAUGCUUUAAGUGUGGCAAUGGAUGUGUGCAUGUCUAGGAUUGGAUCCAUGAAGAGCUUGGUACUUAAGCAGUCCAAUAGACUCACCACCUCUUUUCUGGCUUCCUACCUGGUGCACAACUUCCAUUCACUUUAAGCCAUAACAAAGAAGGUUUGAUUUCUCGAUACUUAACUGUUUUUAAAAUAACAUGUUUCUGCCACUACAAAGGUUUAUAAGUUUUCAAAGUUUCCCAUAAGAUUUUACAAGAUUGUUAACAAUGUUUUGAUUGUUACAAUGAAUCACGUUUUGGAAAAAAAAUAAGGCUAAAGUUUUAUACAAGUUUAAACGGUAAAAGUUUCUAAACAUCAAAAAGGGUUUUCAAUGAAAACAUGGUUUUCGAAAAACACUUCAAUGUGACACGCUGGAUUCGGUCGUAACGUCUGGGUCGGGUUUGGGGUGUUACAGUAGUAGUCAAUUUGAAAUAUGCCAAGUUGAAGAAAUAUGGGUUCGAAUCUAAGAGAAAUUCUAGAGAAUGUUUGCUACCCUGAGAUUUUCUUGUUUUUCCUGUAUGUAGUAGUCAAUUUGAAAUAUGCCAAGUUGAAGAAAUGGUAAGUUUAAGCAUGAGUUAGAAGGUGCCAUAAGUGAGCUAUAAAAUGAGCAUUUUGGCAUGUUGUUGUAAUAAAAUUUUUAAUGUGUUUUGGUAUAAAUGUUGUUUAAUAUUGCUUGUAGGAAUGACCCAAAAAGGGGUGGCAAAUUGGCUUAAACCAAACCUGUAUUAUGCCACACGGUCAAGGAACAUGGGUGUACCUUAUGGCCAUGUAUGCAAAUCUUAAGAUCACACGGUUAAGACAUAUAGGCAUGUCAUAUGGCCAUAGGCCUAAGUCAGUAGCCAGCUAAGUUUCACACGGUGAUGGCACACGGCCGUGUCUGUUGGUCGUGUGUAAAAGUCAGUAUAUAUACUCUAUUUUGGCACGGCCUGGUCACACGGGCGUGUGACCUCAACAGAAUUGAAUUUUUUUUAAGUUCUGAAAAUUCUAAAUGUGUUCGAUUUAGUACUGACCUGUUCUAAAUGUAUGUCUUAGGUCUUGGAGACGUCCAUAAGGGAUAAAUUAUUGAAUUUACUUAUGCAUUAAUAUUAUGUGAUAUCUGUGAUUCUGUAUUGAUCUGUAAUGUUCUGUCUGUCUGGUAAUACCCCUUACUUAUUCCAGUGACCGUUACGAGAUAGGGGUGUUACAUUUUAUUAGUAUCAGAGCUAUGGUUUAGUCAGUUAUAGGACUACCAUAGUGUAUUUGAGUAUAGCUAUACAUGCCAUAUAUCUGAAACUGCGAUAGUGUGAUGAAUGCCGACAUUGAAUUGUGCUUUUAUAUAGCAAAUGUAUCCCGAUAGAGCUGUAGCUGACGAUGUUGAAAGUAAUGCGCUUGCUCCUGCGUAAGGGACAGUGCAAGAUGGUUCUUGACCGGCUACGAGUAGCCGUGAUGGUGAGGCUAAACAAGCCUUCUAUCAGAUGAUGAAUGAUUGGUUCACUUAGUAUAUUAGAACCAAUCCAGCUGUAGAACCACCUCCACCCCAGUUAAUCCUUCUCAAACUCCUGUUAUGCCACCAAUGAACCUAGUACAGUUGAGUAAACCACUAGUUGAUAAGAUUAGAAAGUAUGGCGCUGAAGAGUUUCGAGCUACAACAAAUGAUGAUGCUAAAAGAGCCGAAUUCUGGUUAGAGAAUACAAUAACAGUGUUUGAUGAAAUGUCUCUGAAUCCUGAGGAAUGUGUAAAAUGUGCCGUUUUACUUUUGAGAGAUACGGCAUACCAUUGGUGGAAAACUUUAAUAUUUGUGGUUCCGAGUGAACGGGUUGCUUGGGAUUUCUUCCAAGCUGAAUUUCGAAAAAAAUACAUUAGUCAGAGAUUCAUUGAUAAAAAAUGUAAAGAGUUUCUUAAGCUUAAACAAGGCCGUAUGUCUGUUACUGAAUACGAACGAGAAUUUGUAAGAUUGAGCCAGUAUGCUAAGGAAUAUGUAUCAAAGGAAGAAAUAAUGUGCAAAAGGUUUGAAGAUGGACUAAACGAAGAUAUCCGUCUGUUAUUUGGGAUUUUAGAGAUUAAAGAAAUGGUAGUGCUCGUUGAGCGAGCUUGUAAAGCUGAAGAGUUAAGUAAAGAGAAAAGAAAAGCUGAUUCUAAAGCUAGAGAUGUUAGAAAGAGAUCUUUGAAUAGAUCAUUUCAGUCUAUGUCAAAGAAAUUCUGAGAUGAUCAUAGCCGUUCAAAGACUGAUGUAAGACAUUCGAAUCGAGAUUGAACUAGAUCGCAUUCGAAUUUCAGAGCUCCUGAUACUUCUAUUGCAAGUUUCGGGAAUGUUCGAUAUGAGAAACCUGAAUGUAAACAUUAUGGUAAAAGACAUCUGGGAAAUUGUAGAUUGAAUGACUGAGCCUGUUUCCGAUGUGGAUCUCUGGACCAUUUUGUAAGAGAUUGUUCUGAACUUGUGAGCAAGAGAAUGUACAAAAUUCGAGACCGAGCAACACCUCAGCUAGAGGUAGACCUUCUAGAAAUACGGGAAAUGCAAGUGGUGGUCAAAGAGCUACUAGAGAUACUACUGUUAGAUUUGAGGCUAGAGCACCUGCCAGAGCCUAUGCUAUCAGAGCUCGUGAGGAAGCCUCGUCUCCAUACAUGAUUACUAGUACUUUUACUCUUUAUGAUACUUCUGUGAUUGCAUUGAUAGACCCUGGAUCAAUGCAGUCUUAUAUCUGUAUGAAUUUAGUGCACAGUAAGACUUUGCCUGUAGAGUCUACUUAAUUCGUAAUUAGAGUAUCAAACCCCUUAGGAAAAAGUGUCUUGGUUGAUAAAGUUUGCAAGAAUUGCCCGUUAUUGAUUUGAGAUAUCUACUUUCCUGCUGAUCUGAUGCUUUUACCUUUCGACGAAUUUGAUAUAAUUCUAGGAAUGGACUGGUUAGCUUUGCACGAUGCUAUUUUGAAUUGCAAAUGAAUAUUCAUUGAUUUAAGGUGUGAGAAUGAUGAGAUAAUUCGAAUUGAGUCUAGUGAUCUGAAUGGACUACCAACUGUUAUAUCUGUAAUGAAAGUACAGAAAUAUGUGAAGAAAGGCUGUGAAGCCUACUUAGCUUAUGUGUUAGACUCGAAAGUGAAUGAUAAGAAAGUUGAAUCUGUGCCUGCUGUCUGUGAAUUCUCUGAUGUGUUUCCUGAAGAACUACCUCGUUUGCCUCCGAUUCGAGAAGUCGAGUUUGGCAUUGAAUUAGUAUCUGGUACUACUCCGAUUUUGAUAGCUCCAUAUAGAAUGGAUCCGACUGAGUUAAAGGAAUUAAAAUCUCAGUUGCAAGAAUUGAUCGAUCGAGGAUUUGCUAGACCGAGCUUUUCACCAUGGGGUGCUCCUGUUCUAUUUGUGAAAAAGAAAGAUGACACAAUGAGAAUGUGUAUUGAUUAUCGUCAGCUUAACAAAGUGACUAUAAAGAACAAAUAUCCUCUACCCAGAAUUGAUGACUUAUUCCAUCAGUUGAAAGGUGCUAAUGUGUAUUCAAAGAUAGAUCUGAGAUUGGGUUACUAUCAGUUGCGAGUAAAGGACUCUGACAUUCCGAAAACUGCUUUUAGAACGAGGUACGGGCAUUAUGAAUUUUUAUUUAUGCCUUUUGGAUUAACGAAUGCACCUGCUAUCUUUAUGGAUUUAAUGAAUAGGAUUUUUAAACCGUAUUUAGAUCAAUUUUUUGUGGUAUUCAUUGAUGACAUAUUGAUUUAUUCACGUAAUGAAUAUGAGCAUGUCGAGCAUUUGAGAAUUGUGCUACGACUCUGCGAGAGAAACACUUGUAUGCAAACUUCAGUAAAUGUGAGUUUUGGUUGCGAGAAGUUGGUUUCCUUUGUCAUAUUGUAUCAGCCUCCAGUAUUCGAGUUGAUCCGAGCAAAGUUUCGGCUAUUCUGGAUUGGAAACCUCCUAGGAAUGUUUCAAAAGUCUGCAGUUUUCUAGGACUUGUUGGGUACUAUAGAAGAUUCGUAAAAGGUUUCUCAAUGAUUGUGACUCUGUUGACAAAAUUUCUCCCUAAAGAUGUGAAGUUUGAGUGGUCUGAAAAGUGUCAGAACAACUUUGAUCAAUUGAAAGCUUUAUUGACUGAAGCUCCGGUUUUGGUACAACUUGAAUCGGGUAAGAAUUUGUGAUUUAUAGUGAUGCUUCGUUGAUUGGUCUAGGAUGUGUUCUAAUGCAAGAAGGAAAAUUUAUAGCUUAUGCCUUGAGACAACUAAAGCCGCAUGAGAAGAACUAUCCGACUCACGACCUUGAAUUAGCUGCUAUUGUGUUUGCCUUGAAGAUCUGGCGUCACUAUCAGUUUGGUGAGAAAUGUCAUGUGUUUUCUGAUCAUAAAAGUCUGAAGUAUUUAAUGACGUAAAAAGAUUUGAAUCUACGAUAGAGAAGAUGGUUAGAACUGCUAAAAGACUACGAACUUGUGAUUGAUUAUCAUUCGGGAAAAGCAAAUAUUGUUGCCGAUGCCUUAAGUCAGAAAUUGUUGUUUGCUUUGCAUGCGAUGAAUGCCCAUUUGGUUCUGUCUGAUGAUGAUUCAGUUUUAGUUGAAUUAAAAGCAAGACCCUUGUUCUUAUAGCAGAUUAUCGAAGCUCAGAAGAUUGAUAAUGAGAUUUUGGCUAAACGAACUCAAUGUGAUGUAGAGACUGGUUCAGAAUUCAGAGUUGAUAAAGAUAAUUGUUUAAGAUUCCGUGAUCGGAUUUGUGUUCUGAGAAAUCCAGAGUUAAUUCAAAUGAUUCUGAGUGAAGCUCACAGUAGUUGUUUAUCUGUACAUCCGGGUAGUACAAAAAUGUAUAAUGAUCUGAAGUAGCAUUAUUAGUGGUCUGGAAUGAAAAGAGAUAUCUCUGAUUUUGUUUCUAAAUGUUUAAUCUAUCAGCAAGUUAAAGUUGAAAAUCAGGUGCCAUCUGGGUUAUUACAACCGAUUAUGAUUCCGGAGUGGAAAUGGGACCAAGUGACCAUGGAUUUUGUUGUGGGUUUGCCCCUGUCUCCAAGAAAGAAAGAUGCAAUUUGGGUUAUAGUUUAUCGUUUGACGAAAUCAGCUCAUUUUACUCCGAUUCGAUUUGAUUACUCACUCAAUAAAUUAGCUGAGUUAUAUAUUUCUGAUAUGUGAUAUUGCAUGGCAUGCCAUUGUCGAUAGUGUCAGAUAGAGACCCAAGAUUGACAUUGCGAUUCUGGAAGAAAUUACAAGAUGCUCUGGGUACUAAAUUGCGUUUUAGCACUGCUUUUCAUCCAAAAAUAGAUGGUCAAUCUGAAUGGAUUAUUCAGAUACUCGAGGAUAUGUUGAGAUGUUGCAUUCUUGAGUUUGAAGGUACGUGGGAACAAUAUCUACCUUUGAUUGAAUUUGCUUAUAAUAACAGUUUUCAAUCAAGCAUCAAAAUGACACCGUACGAAGCCUUAUACGGUAGGAAGUGUAGAACUCCGUUAUACUGGUCUGAGCUUAGUGAGAAUAAGAUUUACGGUAUUGAUCUGAUAAAAGAAACAGAACAGAAAGUGAAAGUAAUCUGAAAUAGUUUGAAAGCUGCCUCUGAUCGUCAAAAAUCUUAUGCGGAUUUAAAACGAAAAGAUAUCAAAUUUGAGAUUGGUGAUAAAGUGUUUCUGAAAGUAUCUUCGUGGAAGAAACUGUUCCGAUUUGGUAAAAAGGGCAAGUUGAUUCUGAGGUUCACCGGACCGUAUGAAAUCAUCGACCGAGUUGGGCCAGUUGCUUAUAGAUUGAGGCUACCAUCUGAGUUAGAAAAGAUUCAUAAUGUAUUUCACAUAUCGAUGCUUCGACGAUACAGAUCUGAUCCUUCGCAUGUAAUUUCACCAUCUGAGAUUGAAAUUCAGCCUGAUAUGACUUAUGAAGAAAAGCCGAUUCGUAUUUUAACUUGCAAGGUUAAAGAGUUACAAAAUAAGAAAAUUCCAUUAGUUAAGGUGAUGUGGCAUCGACACGAUGUUGAAGAGGCCAUAUGGGAGUCUGAAGAUGCUAUGAGACAACAAUAUCCGAAUCUGUUUAACGGUAAGAUUUUUGGGGACCAAAAUCUCUAAAGGGGGUAGAAUUGUAACAGUCCGACUUAGACCCUAGUCAGAAAAGUUGUUUUGAGACCAUGUAACCGAUUCUGAAAAAUAUUUUAAUAUUAUUUUUUGUGUCUGUGAUAUGUGAAUUUAUAUCUGCAAAGUUUCUAUGAUUUAAUUUGUCUGUUUCUGUGCUUAAUUAUGAUAAAGGAUUAAAUCGCGUCAAAUACAAAAGUUGUAUGCUAAUUGUUAAUGGGGUUAAUUGGCCUUGGCUUUUAAAAUAAGGGUCAUUGCAUGGUAAUUAUGCCAUUGAUAAGGGUAACGGACAUUGAUGGACAUAUGGUAGGUGAAUUUUAAUGUUAGUAACUAAAGGGCGAUAUGGUAAUUAGUGUAAUAAGUUAAAUUUAAUAAAAUAAAGGCCAUUGCAUGUUUAUUUUCUCAUCAUCUUCCACUGAUUAUAGAGAAAAGAAACAGCCAUUGAAGCUUUGUGAUAUUCAGCUAUUGCAUGAUUAAUUAGGUGAGUUUAUUUUUCUCAGUUUUUUAUAAUUUCUACGUUUCUGUAUCAUUGCUUCGUGUUCUUCAAAACCCAUGUCUAAAUUUCUGUUUCUGUUGAAGAUUUUGAAAUGUGCCAUUGAUGAUUGUAUGAGCUUUGUAAUGUUUUUAUAUGGAUUAUGAAACAUAUAUGUGAGAUUAUCAUACUUUGUUCUUGAAUUUUUGAUGGAAUCGAGCUAUUUGGGCUAAUUUGUGAAAAUGAGGUUUUGAAGGACUAAAUUGUGAAUUAAAUAUGUUAUUUGGCUUGUAUGGAAGCUAUGUAUAAUCAGCCAAGCUAUAGUUUUGGUGAAUUUUGAAUAUUUGUGAUUUCCCAUUAGAAUUGGUGAAUUCGAUGCUCCUAAUGCUUUAAUUUCAUGUAUUAUACUUAGGAGAGCAUAGAAGAGCGAAAGGAACGAGAAACGGGCCAAAAACAGAGAAAAUGGGCCAAAGUACGAAAUCAACACGCCCUGGACCUCCUCACACGGGCAGACCACACGGCCGUGUCAAUUUGGCAGGCUCGAGCACGACCUGAAGUGAUCGCACAUGGGCGUGUCACACGGGCGUGUCCCUGCCGAGCCCAAGUUGAGUCCAAUUCGGAAAAGGCUAAUUCUGAGGGCUUUUAAGCAUUCCAAAGCCUAUAAAUACACCCUAGAGGAAGAAGAAAUGAGACACAGGAUAGGGAGUAAGGAAUUACUCCAAGGAAGCUGAUUGAUCCAUCUCAGAAGCCGGAUUCACCAUAAAGACUGAAGAUCUCUCCUCAAUUUCCCCUUCAGGAGUUUUGGGUUUUCUUUAUAUUUUGUAUUCUUUUUUAUUCUGAAAUGUUUUCUUAUUUAGUUAUGAACUAAAACCCCUAAAUACCUAAGGGAAUGAAACCUAAGACGAAUCUUGUUAUUAUUUUCUGAAUUGUGUGAUAAAUAUUUAACUUGUUCUUAAUUAUGUGUUCUUAAUUCUUAUUUUGAUAUCCCAGGAUACUGAUUCAAGAUAAGCUCUUAGUCAGAAGAAGAAUAGACCCUGUCUAAGAGUACAUUUGUCAUAAUUAAGCGGAGUUGUUUGCGCGCCUAGACAUAGGGUAACAAGAUUUUUCCAGAUUAGGGUGAAACCUAAUAAGGGGAUCCAUAGAUCGAGUUAAUGCAACCCUAGGGUGUUAAUUAGAGAAAGGUCUCAAUUAUUCAAUCUAAGGAUUAGAUGUUAUUAGUCUUGAUUAGGGAUAAUAACAUAACUUAGGGAUCUCUAUGGAACAAGUUAAUUGAAUAAAUCGUCCGAUUCGGAGCCAGAAUAACAAGUAGAGUCUAGGUGGAUUUUUCUUUAGGUAUUGUCUUAAUUCAAUCUAUUUUCCCAAAAGCAAUUCCCCAAUUCUAUUCUCUGUGAAUUCUUAGUUUAGAUAAUUAGUUAGUUAAAACAAAACCUCUUUGUUCUUAGGCUAGAUAAUAAAAAGACAGUCAUUACUAGUACUUUUAGUUCCUUUGGGUUCGACAAUCCGGUCUUGCUAAAACUACACUACUAUUUGAUAGUUACACUUGCCUACAUCGCGAUAAUAGUUAGUUUCAAGAAUGAUUAAUUAUAAAUAUUUAAAACCUACCACGAAAUCACGCGUUCACUAUGAAGCUAUGACCUUACCUUCUUGCAUAAGCACGUACCCCAAACCAUUCAAGGAGGCAUCACUAUAAACCACAAACUCCUUGCCCGUCUCCGGUUACACUAACACUAGGGCUUCGAUCAGCAAAGCCUUUAAUUUCUUGAAACUCUGUUGGCACUUUUCUGUCCAUUCAAAUUUGACAUCCUUUUGCAACAGCCUUGUCAUCGACGUAGCUAUCAUAGAGAAUCUAUUUACAAACCGUCUAUAAUAUCCAGCUAAACCCAAAAAGCUUCAAACCUCAGUUACAUUCCUCGGCAAUUUCUACUCAACAAUAGCCGAGAUCUUGCUUGGGUCAACUCUAAUCCCGUCAUCCGACACAAUGUGCCCUAAAAAUCUGACUUCUUUAAGCCAAAAUUCACUCUUACUAAACUUGGCGUAAAGCUACUUAUCUCUCAAAGUUUGUAACACAGUUCUCAAAUGCUCAGCGUGUUCACUUUCAUCUCGCGAGUAAAUUAGUAUGUCAUUAAUAAAAACCACUACGAACUUGUCCAAAUACGGCCAAAAAAUGCGAUUCAUCAAAUCCAUAGACACCGCCUGGGCAUUAGUCAAUCCAAAGGGCAUGACAAGGAACUCAUAAUGCCCGUAUCUUGUCUGAAAAGUAGUUUUUGGUACAUCUUGCUCUUUAACUCUCAACUGAUAAUAACCAGACCUCAAGUCUAUCUUGGAGAAUACAGUGACCCCCUUUAACUGAUCAAACAUAUCAUCGAUCCUUGGCAAAGGAUAUUUGUUCUUCACUGUUACUUUGUUAAGCUGCCUAUAGUCGAUGCGUAACCUUAUCGAUCCAUCUUUCUUCUUCACAAAGAGUACCGGAGCACCCCACGGGGAAAAAAUCGGUCUCGUGAACCUUUGUCCAUUAACUCUUGCAAUUUUGCUUUCAACUCCUUUAAUUCCAUUGGAGCCAUCCUAUACGGAGCAAUUGAGAUAGAUGCCGUUCUAGGGACCAACUCAAUUCCAAACUCGACUUACCUCAUUGGAGGUAAUCCAGGUAAUACUUCCAGAAACAUGUCUGUAAACUUACAAACCACUGGUAUCGAUUCAAUCUUCAAUUCAGACACUUGAGUAUUCAACACAUAAGCUAGGUAAGCCUCGUAUCCUUUCCUCAAAUAUUUCUCAGUAGUCAAAGAUGAUAUUAAUACAGGUAGAUUAUUUGACUAAUCUGGUCCAACUCGAAGAAUUGUCUUCACAUUUCAGCUCAAUUACUUUUCUCCCACAAUCCACUACAACACUAUGAGAAGUCAACCAAUCCAUCCCAGGGAUUACAUCAAACUCAUUAAACAAUAAUAACAUCAAGUUAGCCGAAAAACAAUGACCUCUAAUUAUCAAAGGGCAAUUCCUACAUACUUGGUCCACUAGUACAUGUCUGUCUAAAGAAUUGGACAUUUUUAUUACAAACUCAGUGGACUCUACUAGACUACUCAUACGGGGUAUCAAUUCCAUACAAAUAUAAGAGUGGGUAGAUCCCGGGUCAAUUAAAGCAACAACAGAUAUUUCAUGGAUAGAAAAGGUACCCGUGAUCACGUGGGGAGACUCUCCCUCUUCCCGAGCUCGUAUAGCAUAAGUCCUUGCAGGCACUCUGCCCUCAGACCUCACCACAGCAUCUCUUGGCAUGCUUCUACUGCUACCCCCACUUUCGAGGUUCUUCUGUGGCCUACCCCUCAAAGGGGAACUACUCGCUGUCACAUCUUGUUUUCUCUUUCUCAUUCAAUUUAGGACAAUCAUAGAUGAAGUGUUCCAAUGAUCCGCACUUGAAACAACCCCUUUCAUUCCCUCGGCACUCGCCAAAAUGAAGCCUACCACAUUGCGAGCAUUUUAGCCUAUUUGGCCGAGUGCUAGCAACACUUGCGACCGAAGUGGUCUAGGCUUUAGAAGUUAUGUUCUGCCGGUUCUUGUUCCUAUUUGAAUACCCCACUGAAGCACUCGAUCGAGUAGUAAACUCUCUCUAUCUUUUAGAUGAAGAUUGAUGUGAUUUCCCCAUCUGUCUCUUCUUUGAAUCCCGUGACUCAAAAGCCACUUUCCUCCUUUCUUUAAUCAACUCUUCGGCCUUAUAGGCUCUUUCAAUAAGUGCUACAAAUUCCCGCAGCUCUAAGAUGCCAACAAACACUUAAACAUAUUCAUUGAGGUCGUCCUCAAACCUCUUACACAUGGUGGCUUAUGUAGAUAUGCACUCUCAAGCAUACUUGCUAAGCCUUACAAACUCACGUUCAUAUUCCGUCACUGACGUUCGCCUUGCUUUAGCUCAAGGAAUUCCUUCCUCUUUUGGUCUAUAAACUGCUGACUAAUAUACUUCUUUCAGAACUCUUCCUAGAAGAAUUCCCAAGUUACCCUCUCUCUCGAUACCAUAGACACGAGAGUGUUCCACCACUGGUAGGCUAAAUCACUCAAGAGUGACACUGCACACUUCACGCACUCCUCAGGCAUGCAUGACAGUUCAUCAAAUACCCUAAUGGUAUUUUCUAGCCAAAACUCUGCUCUCUCUGGGUCAUCAUCUAUGCUAGCCCGAAAUUUCUCGGCCCCUUGUUUCCGGAUCUUGUCUACUGGAGGGUUCUCUCUUCUAAACUUGUCCGUGCCUUGUGAAGCUACCGGGGCAUACUGAGGAAUCGGAGGAGGUGGGGGAGGUGGAGCGUUCAGAUUUGCACGAACAAACUCCGUAUACGAAGCAUCCAUCAUUUGGAGGUAGGCUUCUCUAGCCCUUCUGCCUUGACCCAUAGUUACGGGCUCACUCUCUACUGGCGUGAUCCUUUCAGCGGGAGCCGACGCAUUACUUUCCACGUCAUCUGCCGUGGUUCUAUUAGGAUCCAUUUACUAUAUGGAAACAUAAUUUAUAAUCAUCAGAGAUCAUUACACUAUCAAUAUACAGCCAUGGCAUGUAUAGCUAGACUUGUACUCUUGAUAGGUUAGUCCUAGAACCGAUUAAACCAUAAAUCUGAUACCACUAAAUGUAACACCCCAUACCCGUAUCCUAUAUCGUGACGAAAUACGAGGCGUUAGCCAACUUUAAACUCAAGCUUUCAUUCAUUUCUGAGUUACCAAAACUCUAUUCAACUUUAAAACUUAUCAACAUAUCUUGAUUACGGAUUUAUGAGGCCCAAAACACACAUCGUAAAUCAUCUGGGACCAUUUUGGGCCCUUUUUCCAACUAUAGAAAAAUGUCACUUAUCAAAAGGACACACGCCCGUGUGGAAGGGUAACAUGCCAGUGUGACCAUUUUGACAUGGUCGUGCUGAUGGCCCGUGUGGCUCACACGACCUAAGCACUCUGGGACACGCCCGUGUAGAAUUAAUUUCUAAUUCACACCUACCAGGGUUUUCACAUGGCCAGACACACGCUCGUGUCAAUGGCCCGUGCCCCUCAUACGGCCGUGACACUCCCGUGUCCUAGCCCGUGUGCAAAAACAUGGACAUUCUGUUUCUGACGUCAGCAUGCUUAUAAUGUUACACAACCAAGGCACACGCCCGUGUGCUGGGCCGUGUCCUCUACACGGUCAUGUCUUUGCCCGUGUGUUUAUUGCCAUGCAUACUGACUUGAAAUUUUUACAUAUAGUGGACACACGGCCGGACCGCACGUCCAUGGGGCAGACCGUGUGUCACACACAGCCUAGACACACUUCCAUGUGUCUACCUGUGUUGACAGUAUAAGGAUAUUUACUAAGCCUCAUUGCCACCCUUACAUUUAUAGUUCCAUACAAAUACCAACCAAUAUCGAAACAAGUACAACUCCUAUACAUGAGAAUGCAUCUUUUAUAAAUUCAAAAUGAAUGUUAGCCAUCAUUCAAGGCUUAAUACAAAUUGAAGGAUUUCCAACCCAAGCUAACAUAUAUGGCCAAUCCUCAAUGACACAAAAUAAUAAUAUCUAAGUACUAUACAUGACAUAUUCAAAAAUAUAAAUCCAACUAUAUCGAAUGCUUCGGUUAAUAGUGUGAUUGAUAUCUCUGACUUCCGGUGAUUCUUUAGCUAGUUAGGUGACACUGAAAGGAAAUUGAAAGGAAAGGGAGUAAGCAUAAAGCUUAGUAAGUUGCAUAUAAAUAAGUAUACAACAACAAUUUAUCCAUAAUCAACAUGCUCAUAACACCAAAGUGGGCAUAAGUGUAACUUACUCAUUACCAUCCAUACAAGUCACAUAUUAUAUAUAUUGAGCUCAUAUCUCAUAUAUACCAAUUACAUACCUGUACCAUUCACAACACGGUUAUACUUUCCUCAUUAUCUUAAGAACACAACGUUCACCUUUGAACCAUUUGGAACACUACCGGAUAUUCAUUAAGCCUCAAACAUGGGUAAGGUGCCGAUGCCAUGUCCCAGACAUGGUCUUACACUGGCUCAUAUCUCAAGUAGAUGCCAUGUACCAAACCUGGUCUUACAAUGACUAUCAUCUCGUAGCUGAUGCAUGUCCCAGACAUGUCUCACACUGGCUUACGUUUUGAGGCUGAUGCAUGUCCCAGACAUGUCUUACACUAGUUCUCGUCUCAAUGCCGAUGCAUGUCCCAGACAUGUCUUACACUAGUUCUCGUCUCAAUGCCGAUGCAUGUCCCAGACAUGUCUUACGUUGGCUCUCAUAAUGUGGUCAAUGCAUGUUCCAGACAUGUCUUACACUAGCCAAAUAACAACCCAUAUGUCACGGCAUGAAUAUCCGAUUUAUUUUCCUAGGUUCAAAUAGGAACUCUACUAUCUCUAUUAUCAUCAUACCAUCUCAAUACCAUAAUUAAGCAAAUCAUGCUAUAUUAAUUCAAAUACAAUUCAACACAUACAUUAGUAAUUUAGUUGUAUUAUUUACAUACAACUUACCUCAGAUUACAAAACGUAUACGACUAGUCUGUUUAGUCGAUUUGCUUGGCUUUUCCCUAGUCUAGGUUUGGAUUUACCAAUUCUUGAUCUAAAAUAGCAAAAUGCACUAAUUUAAUCACUAAAUAAAAUUAAGCAAUUAAAAAUUCACAUUUUCAGUAAAAUGACCAUUUUUCCCCAAAACUUUAGCAAAAUGACCAUUUUACCCCUAUGCUCAAAAAUCUAUUUUUAUCGAGUUUCUUCCCAUCUUAAGCUUAGAUAAACUCUUUUUACUCUUAUAGCAACCCUAAAUUCUCUCUAUUUCACACAUUUAUCAUUUAUUUUACAACUUGUGCAAAAUAGUCCCUUUUGGUGUUUUCAUGGUAACACCUUUCACAAAAGUUGUCAAUUACACAACUAAGACUCAUAUUCUUCCAUAAAAUUUCAAAAAACACCCUAAAUUAUCUCAUUACAAAACCUUAUAUCUUCAACCAUUUUGCAAGAUAUACCCUUCAUUUGAAAGCUCAUGCUUUAAGGGUCUCAAAAAUGCAAAAAUCAUCAACAAAUGGUAUGGAAAUCACUUACUUGUGAGUGCUUCAAGUUGCUAAAAAUUUUAAGCUCUCAAACCCCCUUCAAUUGAUAAUUUUUGAUGGAGAAAAGAGACGAGUAAGGGAUGAUAUCAUCCUUCUUUUAUUUUAUUUCUAUUUUAGUCAAAAUUGGUCACCUAACCCAACAAAUUUUGAAAAUUUUGACCACAUAUGUCUCCUAUGGCCGGCCACUCUAUUUCUAGGGGUCUAAUUGCCCUUUAAAAUCCCUCAAUUUUUCUUCUCUAAUAAAAUCACACCUUUAGCUAUCAAAAUAGAACUUUUUCACUUUAUUCGAUUUAGUCCUUUUUUGCAAUUGGGCUCACAAACGUCCAAAUUAACUCACCAAAUUUUUUUCAUGUAUUAAUAUAAACAUGCUAUGACUCUAAAAUAAUAAUAAAAUGAUUUCUCUGACUUUGGAUUUGUGGUCUUGAGACCACUAUUUUGACUAGCCCCAAAAUUGGGCUGUUACAUACCAUACAUGCAAAUAGAGAAACCAAGUGUAUAGCAACUUACCGAAGGAGCAAACUAAGAAUAGAAGACAGUAGUUUUCGGUUUACCCCUAGAAACACCUACUCGAAUUAGGGUAUAAGAUGUAACAGUCGCACCUCCUAAUAGUAAUCGGCAGAGAAAAGAGUUGUUAGAUGGAAAACUAUUAUAGUAGAGAAAAAGGAGAAGAGAGAGAGCAUAACUGAAUAGUUGUAUUACCACCAAAAAUGACAGAGAGCACAGGAGAAUCGACACAGAGAGGGUGAAAGAAUGAGUAUUAAUCAAUCAAGAGGAAAUCGAUUGGGGGAAAAAGAAAAAUGAGGUAUUCAGUCAAAGUAACAGUAUGUGAAAGAGGGGAGAUCUGUUAAUCACAGAAGAAUUGAAGGAGGAGGAGGAGAGAAUAUGAUAUUCGGCUUUAACAAUGCAAGAGGAGAACUCGAUAAAAGCCAAAUGAAUAGAGAGAAGAGAGAAAGGGGUACUUAGCAAAUGAUAAAAGGAGAAGGUAACUGAUCAGAACCGAUUGAAAGAGGGAGUAAGCACAGAAAACAGAAGUAGAAAACAAAAGAUCGUAGGGAACCAAAGCAGAAAUAUCGAAAGAUGAAAUAGAGAGAAAACUCUCAAAACUGAAAACGUCAAAACUAGGAGGAAAAUACCGAAAUGACAUAUGGUAGACGAAUUCUCUUGAGAAAGAGUUCAAUUUCGGUACCACUACUUCCUUCCCUUGAUCCACUCAUCGAAAAUCUCCUCACAUCUCUCCACCAACUAGCUCGAACUCCAUAAAACCUCUUCUAUCCAAAAUUUCCUCCCCAAAACACUCCCCAAAUCUCCUUAACAAUCGAAAUACCUUAUCCACUCCCCAAAAACAUCCACUCUUUCCUCAACCACCAAUUUCCAAUUCCAAUCCAACUCUUCAGUAAUUUGGUUGAGCUAGGACACUCCCACGAUACUAGCAGUAAAAUAAAUCUCCCUCUUGCCCAUGUCAAGACUCGAACCUUAGACCUCAAGUUACAGUAACACGCCACUUAUCCUCUAGACCAGUAGGCCCUUUUUGUCGUGUUUUACCCAUAUUUACUUAAAAGCCUACUGCCUAAAGACAAUGCUUAUUCCUUAAAAGAAAAAAAAACAAAACUUUUUGCACCUGCCUAGGCUUGAACCCAAGACUUCUCAGACACUCCCAGAACACAUAACCACUGAAGCAGACCUAUAUUUGUGUCACUUUCUUACACAACUAAAUAUUUAUGAGCAGCUUCCUAACUGCUCCCAUACUCAAGACCUAAUACUUUUAGGCCCAAAAUUCGAGGCGUUUCAUAAAUAGUAUAUGAACCGUUAGGGAAUUUUUAGAUAUGUUUCUCGAGGAGUUACCAGGAUUACCCCUAGAUUGUAAGGUAGAUUUUGAUAAUUAAUUUUUGUCAAGAACCGCUCCAGUGUCCAUUGCUCCUUUUCACAUGGCACCAAAAGAUUGCGAGAAUUGAAAAUCCAACUUCAAGAGCUUUUGGAUCGUGGGUUUAUUAGAUCUUGUGUGUUUCCAUUGGGAGCUUCGGUUCUAUUUGUGAAAAAUAAGGAUAGGUACCUAAGGUUAUGUAUAGAUUACUGACAACUAAAUAAGCUUACCGUAAAAAAUAAAUAUCCCUUAGCUAGGAUAGACGACCUGUUCAGUCAAUUCUUAGGUGUCACUGUGUUUUCCAAAAUAGAUCUAAGGCCGGGGUAUUACAGACUAAAGGUUAAAGAGGUGGAUGUACCCAACCCUUCCUCGAUCAAUUCAUUUUAGCGCUCAUAGAUGAUAUCCUAGUCUAUUCCAAAACUGAACAUGAACAAAAUUAGCACAUUAUGAAGGUUUUACAAAUCUUCUGAGAGAAAAAAGUUAUAUGCUAAACUUAGUAAAUGUGAAUUCUAUCUUAAAGAGGUUAUGUUUCUGGGUCAUGUGUUGUCUGUAGUGAGUAUUCAAGUAGAUCCAAAAAAGAUAGAAGCGAUCCUUUGAUGGAAACAACCCAAGAAUGUUUCCAAAAUUUGUAGUUUUUUGGGUUGCCUAGGUAUUACUAUAGAUUUGUUGAAGGGUUGUCCUUAACAGCCUUAACCAAGUUGUUGAGAAAAGAUGUUCCUUUUAAGUGGUUAGAAGAGCAACGAUCUAAUUUCAAAAAGCUUAAGGCGAUCUUAACCCAAGCUCCUAUUUUAAUUCAGGCUGAAUCGAGCCUUGGUUGUGUGAUGAUGCAAGGCGGUAAGGUAGUGGCUUAUGCGUAAAAGAAUUUGAAGUAACAUAGGUGUAACUACUCGACUCAUGACUUAGAGUUGGUUGUAGUAGUUUUUUAACUUAAAAUAUAAAGGCAUUACUUGUAUGGGGAGAAGUGUUACAUCUACACUAAUCAUAAAAGCUUUAAAUACCUUCUCACCCAAAAAGAAUUGAACCUUAGGCAAUGGAGUUGGUUUGAGCUAUUAAAAGACUACGAUUGUGUGAUUGAUUACCACCCCGAGAAAACCAAUGUUGUAGUAGACACCCUAAGCCUAAAGUAGAUGACUAAUUUAAGGGAAAUGUUUACUAGGUUGAGUUUUGUAGAUGGUGGAGCCUUGUUAGCAAAAUUACAAGUAAAACCCAACUUAGUGAUGAGAUCAAAGCUAAACAACCCUUAGAUAUAACUUUGUUACCUCAAAUUAUGCUCAUGAAAGAAGGAAAGACCGAGGAUUUUGGGUUUAAUGAUGAUGAUAUCUUGUGUUUUCAAGAAAGACUUUAUGUCCCGAAUGGCGAUGAAUUAAGACGAACCAUACUUCAAGAAGCACAUGCUAGCCCUUAUGCGAUGCAUCCCGGAGGAAGCAAGAUGUAUUAGGAUGUGAAAGAGUUGUAUUGGUGGCCAUGAUUGAAAUGAGAUGUAACAAAAUUUGUGGCCAAAUGUCUAACUUGUCAGUAAGUAAAAUAUAAGCACCAAUUUUAUUUUGGGUUGUUACAACCUAUUAAAAUACCGUAGUGGAAGUUGGAGUAAAUAGUAAUGGACUUUGUUAGUGGGUUACCAUUAGCACCCGCACUUCUUACUUGCCCGUAAGGAUUAUUCAUUACAAAAGCCAGUUAAGUUAUACAUUUUAGAGAUAGUUAGGUUGCAUAGAGUGCCUAUAUCGAUUAUCUUAGAUCGAGAUCCUUGAUUUACAUUUUGAUUCUGGAAAAAGUUGCAAGAGUCAGUAGGAACUCACUUGGAUUUUAGCACUGCUAUCCAUCCGCAGUCUGAUGGGAAAUCUGAGUGGGUGAUUCAAAUAUUGGAAGAUAUAUUAAGAGGUUGUAUCAUUGUGGGAAGAACAUUUACCCUUAUCCAAAUUUUCCUACAACAAUAGCUUCCAAUCUAGCAUCCAAAUGGUACUUUAUGAGGCCUUGUAUGGUUGCAAAUGCCGAACUCUUUUGUGUUGAACUAAACUAGGUGAUAGAAAAGUUUUGGGUCCUGAGUUAGUGCAAAAGUCUGAGGGGAGAGUAAAUUGAUUAAAGAAAGACAAAAGGUGACUUUUUCUAGACAAAAGUAGUAUGCAAAUUUAAAUAGAAAGGACAUUAAGUAUAAUGUCGACGGUCAAGUCUUCCUAGAAGUGUCCCCAUGGAAAAAGGUAUUAAGGUUCGGUUGAAACGGUAAGCUAAGUCCAAGAUCAUAGAACCUACCGAAUCCUAAUUGCUUAUCAACUAGAAUUACCUCUUGAACUGGAUCAAAUCCAUGACAUUUUCACAUCUCCAUGUUGAGACGUUAUCAGUCAGACCCUUCUCAUGUCGUUCCAAUUGAAGAUAUAGAGGUAUGACCGAAUUUGUCCUUUAAAGAAGAACCUAUACAAGUUCUAGAACGGGAUGUAAAGUUUCUGAGAAGGAAGUGAAUCCCUCUAGUUAAAGUCAUGUGGCGGAACCAUGGAGUCGAGGAGGCCACAUGGAAAAUAGAAGACACGUUUCGAUAAUAGUAUCCUCAUUUAUUCAAACCAGGUAAAUUUCAAAGAUGAAAUUUCUUUAAGGAGGGGAGAGUUGUAACACACCAAAAAUCAUAAGGUUGGAAUUAAUAAAACCAUCAAGAAAGGAUUCUUAGUUUGGGUGGUAGAGAUCAUAGUAUAUUCUCUAGGGAGCUAAGGUUCAAGCUCUACUCUUUCCAUUUUCCUCUUUUAUUUUUCAGAAAAUAAGGAAAAUAUUCAAUCUAGUACAUAUAGUAAAUGUGGUAGAAAAUAACCAAGCUUAAGAAGUAGCCCAAGUGGUAAGGCUUCCAAUCCCUCCUUACGUUCAAGUUCGAAUCAUGCCAAAACCACUCCCCAAUUUCUUUUUUUCAAUUUCGACAAAAAUGGGCAUUUUACCAUUCAGCCCUUGUAAUUUUUAAAACUCUAAUUAUUUAGUCCAUUUUUAUAAUUAUAUGUGGAUUUCUACUUCCUUUCAACCUUAAUUAGAAUUUAUUUUUUCUCUUCUUUAAAUACAACUUUUUAUUUUAUUUCCUCCUUUCUUUUCAUAAAAAUCUUCAUCUUCUUUUGCUAGAAAUCUUAUUUUGAUCUCAAGCUUGAAACCGAGUCUGUUCAAUCAUUUUUCUAAUCAAUUUAGUGAAACAUCAUCAAUUUCGUCUCUAACAUACCAAGAUUGGUAAGAACAUUCCAAUUCUUGAUAAUUAGAUCUCGAAUAUCUAUAUAAUACUUGUUUUCAACAACAUCAAGAUCAAAAAAAUAUCUUUUACGAAUAUUCCAAAAUCUUUUGAUAAUUUUGAUAAAUCUUGAAUGUCGAUAUUUAUUAUUGUGUAUUUUUUGAACGAAAUUCCCAUUGUAGUGUCCCAAUCCAGAAUUGGAUGUGAGGGUCAUCGUGCAAAUCCCCAGAAGUCAGGUGUGUGUUAUUUUACUAGAAAAUCGAGGCAAAAACUGAACCUAGCCUAGACCACAUGAGAGUGUGGGCCACUCAUGUGGACUACACGGCCAUGCCACCCCAGAAACCUUAGGAUUUCGCUUCUCACAUGACAUGCCUCAUGGUUGUGUCUUCCCUAUAGGUUGAAUUAUUGAAAUGCCACACAACCACAAUCUCUCACAUGGUUGUGUACCUCUUCCAAAUGGCCCAAGGCUUCCCACAUGAUUCAGUCACAAGGCCUUGUGUCCCCUAUAACUUAGAAUUUACAAUUUUAACUCAGAAUUUUAUGCUUUGAUUAGAUUAGUCCCUGAAUAGGUUCCGAACUAGUUUUAGUGAAUUAAAUUAUGCAAAUAAGUCCCUGAUGAUAUAAGAUAUGCUAGAAUUCAUGAUUGAUCAAUUUAAUGUGAUAUUUAUUUAUAUUUAUGAAUAUUUACAUGAAAUAUUAAUAGUAUAUGUUACCUUUGUAUAAAUAUACUUGUGACAUGCCUAUAUUAUUAUUCACACUGAAUACAUGAAAAGUUUGAAUUGCUACUAAUUGGCCAUGAGUUAGAUUAUUUAAUAUUCUUUAAUGCAUUUCAUGGAUUGGGUUGAUAUGAACAGAGGAAGAUCAAGUAGUAUAUCUACAAGAAAAAUGGCAAGUGUAGAGAAUAGGGGAUCCAGAAAUUGCUCUUACCCUGUUUUACCAAAACGUAAAUAUCUCAUAAAAUAAAACUUUUUUUUACCUAUUUUGUUUCUUCCAAAUGAAAAUAGAUUCAUUAAGCUUUAAUUACAUCUUUUAUUCAUCAUCUAAUUUUAUUUCUACUAUUUUUAGUGAUUUUUCAAAUUCACGUCACUGCUACUGUGUGAUUCUGUUUUAUAGCCAAUUUCACCAUUUUAUGGAUUUCCAUAGAUUAGUUAGCACAUAAAGAAUACGUGUUAUCAAAUAUAAUCUCGAUUAGCGACUCCAAUAGCUAAUCAUUCUCAAACAUUUCUAUGCCAUCGAUGAGCUAUAUCAUAAGAUUAUAUACACAAAAGGAUUAUAAUGCUAUACAUGCCAUAUUCCCAAAAUAUGCAAGCCACCAUACCGAGAUGGUCCGUUGAUAGUGUGAGCGUGCCUCCGACCGUCCUAAUCUCCAAACUGGCUUGUCAAAACUACAAGGAGUGGAAGGGAAGGAGUAAGCAUAAAUGCUUAGUAAGUUCACAUGCAAAUAACAAAUAACUUAACAAAGCAAUUAUACCAACCAACAUUAGCAUAAUAUCACCAAAACAUAUAUCACAUUUCUAUUCAUCAUUCAUCAUCUUACUACAUUAUUAUUGUCGUAUCAAGUCUCAACCCGAGGGUUAAGUACAUACUUGUCCAAAGUUCCUAUAACAUCCUGUACCCGAGUCCGUCGCCGGAGUCGGACACGAGGGGUUUGCAGACUUAAAUCACUUCUUUGCACAAUCCAUUUUAAAAUUUUCCAGGCAAGCUGGCUAACUGCGUCACUGUCACCUUAAAAAUCAUAUCUUGAGUUUCACAACUCAAAAAUCAGUUUCGUGAUUUUUCCCUAAAACUAGACUCAUAUAUGCAUCUACAAUUUUUUUUCUAGAAUUUUUGGUCGGGUCAAUUAGUACAGUUUAUUAGUCAAAGUCUCCCCUGUUACAGGGAUCGACUACACUGACCUUUGCGCAUUAGGACUUGGAUAUCUCCCUGUACAGGGCUUCAAUACUGAUGCCGUUUAUUUCUAUAGAAACUAGACUCGAAAAGGAAUCUGUAAAUAUAUGGUAUGACUUAUAAUUAUCUCUGGUUAAUUUAUAAUGAAUUUCCAAAGUCGGAAUAGGGAAUCCAGAAACUGUUCUGGCCCUGUCUCACGAAAACUUAAAUAUCUCUUAACAUACUGUUCAUAUGGUCGUUUCGUUACUUUCCUAUGAAAAUAGAGUCAUCAAGGUUCGAUUACAUAAUUUAUUAACUAUUUAAUUCCAUUCCUACUAUUUUUAGUGAUUUUUCACAUUCACGUCACUGCUGCUAUCAGCAUCUAUUUUUAAGGUAAACUUUACCUAUUUCAUGAUCCUCCAUGGAUCAACUAGAGUUUGUCAUACAUAUACCAAAAGUGAUCAUGAAUGACCAUUCCCAUGGCUAACCGUUACCAACAUUUCCAUACCUCUCGACAAACAACAUACAAAACGAUUUUAAUGCUAUGAUCAAAGUAUGUUUAAGCCAUUUUCGCAUGGCUAUCCAAAUUUACACAAAACCGAAGGAUACAUGACCAACAACAAAAAGGGUAGUCCUAUACAUGCCAUUUUCAGAGUUCAACCAAAAGUGUACCAAAAGGGCUUUGAUAGUGUGGGUGACUUCGACUUCAAUAAUCCCGAGUCCGAUAGCUGACGAACCAAAAUCUAUAAAACAGAGAUUCAAAGAACGGAGUAAGCAUUUAAUGCUUAGUAAGUUUUAAGCAAAACAAAGUGUUCUCAAUCACUAUCAUUGGUCAUUCAUUUCAACUGUUCGAUGAAGUUAAUCUAGAGCUUCAUCUCGAUCUAUAAUAUCAUUAACGCAACACUUGGCUGCCACAUAUAUACUUUCGAAUAAUAAUGACCUAGAUGGUCAAAUAUUUCCAAAGCACAUUCUUCAUCGAUUUUCAACUUUCAAUAAUCCUUUCCACUUGUUCAUAAUCACAUCCAUACUUUUAAGUAUUUCAACAUGACAAGUACUAAAUUACCAUAGGAACAUAAAGAACCAAACAUAUUCCUUAUCACAUAUACGUAAGCUUACAAAUCAUAAUCCUUACCUUGUACUGGCACAUCUAGCUCAACCCAACCCAUACUCAGAUCAUAAGGCUUUUGGGCAGAAUAUGCACUAAUACAUAAGAAUAUUUCAUCGCAUACUUUAUUAUACAAACAUACCAUUACCAAUUAGAUCAUUCUCACAUUUGGAGUUAUAAUAUUAAUCACAUUUACCUACCUCUUUGAUACUGAUAAUUCACCUCGAAAUCACUCCACCGAUGAGUAAGUAAUACAUACCUGAACAUCUUGAAUACAUAAUACUUAUUUGAUGGUAACUUAAUGCAGAUACUCAAUAUCAAAGUCUUACUUGAAUCCUAGCAUUUAGCCGUCGGGUCUUUAAAGCUCGGAUAUAGUACGAGCACGAAGCCUACGGACAUUAAUCAGGAUAAUAUUCUCGCAUAAAGCCUGCGGGGUUUUAACCCGGAUAUAGUACUGACACAAUUGCCCUUCGGGACUUAUCACAUUUAUACACUUCCACAUCCAUCACAUUGGCCAUUCGGCCUUAUCACAUAUAUACACUUUCACAUUCAUCACAUUGGCCAUUCAGCCUUAUCUCAUAUAUACACUUUCACAUUCAUCACAUUGGCCAUUCGGCCUUAUCUCAUAUAUGCAUGUUCACAUUCAUCACAUUGGCCAUUCGGCCUUAUCACGCAUACACAUGUUCACAUUUAUUACAUUGGCCAUUCGACCUUAUCACGCAUAUAUAUACUUUCACAUUCAUCACAUUGGCCAUUCGGCCUUAUCUCAUAUAUGCAUGUUCACAUUCAUCACAUUGGCCAUUCGGCCUUAUCACACAUAUACAUGUUCACAUUCAUCACAUUGGCCAUUCGGCCUUAUCACACAUACACAUGUUCACAUUCAUCACAUUGGCCAUUCGGCCUUAUCACGCAUAUAUAUACUUUCACAUUCAUCACAUUGGCCACUCGGCCCUAUCACAUAUAUAUACUUGUACAUCAAUUUCAUCAUAACAAAAUUGACUAGGAAUACUAGUAAUUUGUGGCUUAUAGCUUCACUUUAAUACGGAUUUGGUACUUUGAUUACCAAUGUUUAAUCGAUAGCUUAUAAGCAACUCAAAUGGUUUUAUUAAGGUUUACAACAAAAUCCCAAACUCAGCACAAGCUGUUUUUUCUGAGCAACAGUCAUUAAAUUAUUCGUAAAUGGAGCUACGAAACUCCAAAUGGAGUGCCGUUAAUUUUACCUGGAAAUAGACUCAUACAUAUCUUAUCCAUCAAAUUUUCAGAAUUUUUGGUUUGGCCGAUCAAUACCAGAUUUUUCUUAAAAUUUCCCCUGUUUCACUAUUUGACUAAUCUGACCAGUCUUCACUACGAAUCAAAUUUCUCAUUGUACAGAAUUCAAAAUAUGUUCUAUUUGAUUUCAUUUGAAUCUAGACUCACUAAGGAGUCUAAGCAUAUAAAUUUUAUCUUGUGACCAUUUUUGUACAAAUUAUAGUGAUUUUCUAAAUACAGGACAGGAGAUUUCGGAGUCAUUCUGACACUGUCUCACACAACUUUAAAUAUCUCUUUAUAGGAAAUUUCUUUGCUUACACGGUCUCUUUUAUAAUAAACUAGACUAAUUAAUCUUUGAUUACAUAUUUUAUUCAGCCUAUAAUUCCAUACCAAAAAUUUAUAGUGAUUUUCUUAAAUCACGUUACGGCUGCUGUCCUAAGCAAAUUAUUGCAAUUUGCUCUUAAAUUUCCAAGUCCAAACACUUAUGAACUUACCAUUUGAGUUUAAGACAUAUCAUGGCCACAUCAUAUCUUAUUAAAUCAACUCAUUAUGUCCUAUUAUGAUUGAAUUUACUCAACGUUUAAUCACUUAAAACUUACCUCGGAAGUGGUCGACGACUAGAUAUCCACGGCUAUUCGUUUACUUUCUCUUUUCCCCUAUCCGACUUUGAUCCUCUUUGCUCUUAAGCUUAAGUAGAACAAUAGAUUUGCUUAAGUACUUAACUAAUAUUAUUCACUUAACAAUCACAUUUGGCAAUCACAUAUCAUUUAAUCUACAUCUAAAACAAUAGAUUUCAAUAUGUAUCAUAUUUAAUAAAACAUGCCAUGAUUCGAUUUCAUGCUUAUUUAAUUUAUAUCUAAUUCACAUUCUAAAUAAAAGUUUAUCAAGCUUCCAUCUUCAUUUAACUAUGUACCAUUUAGAACUAUCAAUACUUUACACCCUUUAACAAAUUAUAAUCAAUUGCCAAAUGCAUCUUUGACAAUUUAAACCACACAACUCAAAUUCUUACAAUUUAAGCUUAGAAAUUUCUAUUCAUGUAAAUUUUAGCAACAUGGAGUCCAUUAAACACUCCAAAAUUCCAUUUGAACAACAAUUGUUCAACCUUCUAGCAUAAUUUCAAUCUGGACAGCAAGCAUUAUUUAACAACCAUUGUUUUCUUUUAUUUCAAACAUGCAGCAGACCAAUUCCUCCACAUAUUACAGCACAUUCAAAUUAGCAUUUACAUGCUGGAACAAUUUGUUUUCAAGCUGGAGUUUCCAGCAAUCAUUUAUGCAUUUAAUUGUCACAUUGUUACGUCACUACUAACAACUGAAACUUAGUAAGAAUAACAUAAUAUUUUAGCUAUUAGACUCAAUUUAUCAACCCCUAAUCGGCAUGAAAAUAGAACCAUUAAUUUGUUCAAAUUUUGGACAGCAUAACGAAGGCACAAAAUUGGAUAGUAGUAUUUUUUACAACUAAUCAAAGAGCUUUUCUUUUCUACCACCCGCAUCCAUGCCUUCCAACCACAAUCCAUCAUCAUUUUUCUUUACAACAAAGUUAAAGAUAGAGGGGAGCUUAGAAAACUUACCAACAUAGGAUACAACUCUUAAACAAGCUAAAUCCUUAGUUUCCUUCAACAUGCAAACUGUCUCCAUUUUUCUUUUUGUUGCAGCCCUCUUCCUCUUCUUCGAUGGAUUACCGAGUUACUUGAAAUUUCAGCUACCUAACUAGCUAAAAUCGUAGUUUUUCCUCCUUCUAGCCAUCUUCUAAGCCAAAAAUUAAAGCAACCAAACUUUCUUCUUCCUCCCUCAAGUCACGGCAAUGGAGGAGCAACCUAGCUAAUUUUUUUGUUUCUCCCCUACUAACCACUAUUAUUUUAUUACCCAUGUUCUUUAUUUUAUUAUUUCUAACAUAAAACACUAACAUAAAAUGUUUAUAAUACAUUUCAUCCCAUAGCAUGGCCGGCCACUACUUGUCAUAGGUGGAAAUUUGACAUGCAAACCCAUUAUUUUCAUAACAUGCACUAAUAGAUCCUUAUAGAUUAACCCAUCACAUUUCAAAGUGUCACACAUAAGUCCUAUUACUAAAAUUCACUUUCAAUUAACAAAAUUCAAACAUGAAAUUUUCACACAUGCAUAUAUACAUAUAAUAAGCAUCAAGUAUGACGGUUAAUUAUUUUAAUGACUCGGUUUUGUGGUCCCGAAACCACUUUCCGACUAGGGUCACAUUAGGGGUGUCACAACUCUUCCCCGUUUUAGGGAUUUUCGUCCUCGAAAAUUUCUACCGAUGCAUAGUUUAGGAUAACGUCCUCUUAUUGAAUUAUAUCCAUAUAAACAUUAGCUCAUCGAUAGCAAUUGUAAUUCAUUAUUGAUUUCGCAUCGAUCUAUAAAAUCAUUUUCUUAUCUUAAAACAAAUACAUAAACAUUUCUACAAGUACGCACAUAUAUCUCAUUUUCUUGAUUUCAUAAGCAAUAAUCACUUAAUUUAAUUCACAAAUGCAUUUCAAACACAUAUUAAGCACAUAUUAACAUGUAUAAUUCAUAUCAUCAACCCACAUAUUUGUAACCCACAUUUUCAUUCAUGUAUAAGUUGUAACCUGACCGAAAGUACACAUAUACUCAAACAUCCCAAUAACUAUCCUUUAUAACUCCAUCAUAUCUCACUAUUCAACUUAACCUAUUUCCAACAGAAAAUCAACUUCCACAUACCUGAACAUUGAAUUCAUUUAGCACAUUUAAUCACUGUUAACGAUACCCGUUGAAUCAUUCGAAAUCAUUACGGAUACUCAUUAAGCACAUAUAGCUCUUACAAUGCCAUAUCCUAGAUAUGGUCUUACAUAUGCUCACAUAUCGAGCCGAUGCCAUGUCCCAGACAUGGUCUUACACACUAUCUCAAAUCAAUGCCUUCGUCCCAGACGAGGUCUUACAUGAAUUCCACUUCACACACUUAGUGCCCACUGACCGAUCUCGCACUCAUAGUGCUCGAUUAAAGGAAUUCGCACACACACAGUGCCUCUAAUCAUUCACACACAUAGUGCUCUUAUUCAUUCGUUACUACACAUUGAAAUGACUUAACCAAGUCUAUAAACAUCAUGUAUGUACACUUUUAAACAUAUCAUCUCAUUUAAAUUUGAAUUCGUAUAGUAAUGAAUACUUAAACUUUGCUCAAAUUACCGGCACGAAGCCUACUAGGCACGAAGGCCCGAAUACACGUCACCAGCAUGAUUGCUCUUCGGGACCUAGCCCGGAUAUAACACCAGCACGAAUGCUCUUCGGGGUUUAGCACAGAUAUAUCACUAGCACGAAUGCUCUUCGGAACUUAGCCCGGAUAUAUCACUAGCACGAAUGCUCUUCGGAACUUAGCCCGGAUACAUCACUAGCAUGAAUGCACUUCGGGACUUAGCCCGGAUACAUCCCUAGCACGAAUGCUCUUCGGAACUUAGCACGGAUACAUCACUAGCAUGAAUGCUCUUCGGGACUUAGCCCGGAUACAUCACUAGCACGAAUGCUCUUCGGGACUUAGCCCGGAUCAUCGUCGAGACCUUUAGCUCGGAUGAAAUCUCCACACAAAGCCAGCGAAUUUUAAUCCGGACAUAAUCUCUGUACAUAGCCAUCGGGUCUUUACCCGGACAUAAUCUCUUCAUAUAGUCAGCGGGUCUUUAAACUUGGAUUCACAUCACUGAGUCUCAUACAUAUUUAUUCACAUGUUAUCAUGUUUCACAUGGCACAAAUCACAUUUAUAAUUUAAUCAAUUCAUUCACAUGUAAACAUAUAACAUGAUUCUUGACUUUAAGUCGUAAAUAUCAUUCAAAUCUAAUACAUGUAUGCUUCUUUUACUAAACUUUUAGCUCAAUAAGCAAUCACACAAAAGCAUAUAUCCCCAAUCUCUUCCUUUGUUCAUUUCUCUAAUAACCUUAUUAUGAUAAGGACAAUGGGACAUCAUUCAUCUAUCAUACAUGUAUAUCAUGGCAUUUUAAGUUAAAUACCAAAUUCAAUUACUCAAAACUUACUUAUGUUAUACCCUUCUCAAUAUUGACACGUCAUAAGCAUGUCUCAGUCCUCUCAAUACCAUCUGCUAGAGCUCGAUCGGGAUCGAAAUUCAUUACAAUAAAUAAACACAUUUUCAAUUGUCAGAAAUCACCACACUAUCAAAUAAUCACAUAAUGGCAUGUAUAGCUAGACCCAAACGUAUUACGGUAGUCUUAGAAUCGACUAAACCGUAGCUCUAAUACCAAUAAAAUUGUAACACCCCGUACCCGAGUCCGUCGCGGGAGUCGGACACGAGGGGUUUGCAGACUUAAAUCACUUCUUUGCACAAUCCAUUUUAAAAUUUUCCAGGCAAGCUGGCUAACUGCGUCACUGUCACCUUAAAAAUCAUAUCUUGAGUUUCACAACUCGAAAAUCAGUUUCGUGAUUUUUCCCUGAAACUAGACUCAUAUAUGCAUCUAAAAAAUUUUUCUAGAAUUUUUGGUCGGGCCAAUUAGUACAGUUUAUUAGUCAAAGUCUCCCGUAUUACAGGGAUCGACUACACUGACCUUUGUGCAUUAGGACUUGGAUAUCUCCCUAUACAGGGCUUCAAUACUGAUGCCGUUUGUUUCUAUAGAAACUAGACUCGAAAAGGAAUCUGUACAUAUAUGGCAUGACUUAUAAUUAUCUCUGGUUAAUUUAUAAUGAAUUUCCAAAGUCGAAAUAGGGAAUCCAGAAACUGUUCUGGCCCUGUCUCACGAAAACUUAAAUAACUCUUAACAUACUGUUCAUAUGGUCGUUUCGUUACUUUCCUAUGAAAAUAGAGUCAUCAAGGUUCGAUUACAUAAUUUAUUCACUAUUUAAUUCCAUUCCUACUAUUUUUAGUGAUUUUUCACAUUCACGUCACUGCUGCUAUCAGCAUCUAUUUUUAAGGUAAACUUUACCUAUUUCAUGAUCCUCCAUGGAUCAACUAGAGUUUGUCAUACAUAUACCAAAAGUGAUCAUGAAUGACCAUUCCCAUGGCUAACCGUUACCAACAUUUCCAUACCUCUCGACAAACAACAUACAAAACGAUUUUAAUGCUAUGAUCAAAGUAUGUUUAAGCCAUUUUCGCAUGGCUAUCCAAAUUUACACAAAACCGAAGGAUACAUGACCAACAACAAAAAGGGUAGUCCUAUACAUGCCAUUUUCAGAGUUCAACCAAAAGUGUACCAAAAGGGCUUUGAUAGUGUGGGUGACUUCGACUUCAAUAAUCCCGAGUCUGAUAGCUGACGAACCAAAAUCUAUAAAACAGAGAUUCAAAGAACGGAGUAAGCAUUUAAUGCUUAGUAAGUUUUAAGCAAAACAAAGUGUUCUCAAUCACUAUCAUUGGUCAUUCAUUUCAACUGUUCGAUGAAGUUAAUCUAGAGCUUCAUCUCGAUCUAUAAUAUCAUUAAACGCAACACUUGGCUGCCACAUAUAUACUUUCGAAUAAUAAUGACCUAGAUGGUCAAAUAUUUCCAAAGCACAUUCUUCAUCGAUUUUCAACUUUCAAUAAUCCUUUCCACUUGUUCAUAAUCACAUCCAUACUUUUAAGUAUUUCAACAUGACAAGUACUAAAUUACCAUAGGCACAUAAAGAACCAAACAUAUUCCUUAUCACAUAUACGUAAGCUUACAAAUCAUAAUCCUUACCUUGUACUGGCACAUCUAGCUCAACCCAACCCAUACUCAGAUCAUAAGGCUUUUGGGCAGAAUAUGCACUAAUACAUAAGAAUAUUUCAUCGCAUACUUUAUUAUACAAACAUACCAUUACCAAUUAGAUCAUUCUCACAUUUGGAGUUAUAAUAUUAAUCACAUUUACCUACCUCUUUGAUACUGAUAAUUCACCUCGAAAUCACUCCACCGAUGAGUAAGUAAUACAUACCUGAACAUCUUGAAUACAUAAUACUUAUUUGAUGGUAACUUAAUGCAGAUACUCAAUAUCAAAGUCUUACUUGAAUCCUAGCAUUUAGCCGUCGGGUCUUUAAAGCUCGGAUAUAGUACGAGCACGAAGCCUACGGACAUUAAUCAGGAUAAUAUUCUCGCAUAAAGCCUGCGGGGUUUUAACCCGGAUAUAGUACUGACACAAUUGCCCUUCGGGACUUAUCACAUUUAUACACUUCCACAUCCAUCACAUUGGCCAUUCGGCCUUAUCACAUAUAUACACUUUCACAUUCAUCACAUUGGCCAUUCGGCCUUAUCUCAUAUAUACACUUUCACAUUCAUCACAUUGGCCAUUCGGCCUUAUCUCAUAUAUGCAUGUUCACAUUCAUCACAUUGACCAUUCGGCCUUAUCACACAUAUACAUGUUCACAUUCAUCACAUUGGCCAUUCGGCCUUAUCACGCAUACACAUGUUCACAUUCAUCACAUUGGCCAUUCGACCUUAUCACGCAUAUAUAUACUUUCACAUUCAUCACAUUGGCCAUUCGGCCUUAUCUCAUAUAUGCAUGUUCACAUUCAUCACAUUGGCCAUUCGGCCUUAUCACACAUAUACAUGUUCACAUUCAUCACAUUGGCCAUUCGGUCUUAUCACACAUACACAUGUUCACAUUCAUCACAUUGGCCAUUCGGCCUUAUCACGCAUAUAUAUACUUUCACAUUCAUCACAUUGGCCACUCGGCCCUAUCACAUAUAUAUACUUGUACAUCAAUUUCAUCAUAACAAAAUUGACUAGGUAUACUAGUCAUUUGUGGCUUAUAGCUUCACUUUAAUACGGAUUUGGUACUUUGAUUACCAAUGUUUAAUCGAUAGCUUAUAAGCAACUCAAAUGGUUUUAUUAAGGUUUACAACAAAAUCCCAAACUCAGCCCAAGCUGUUUUUUUCUGAGCAACAGUCAUUAAAUUAUUCGUAAAUGGAGCUACGAAACUCCAAAUGGAGUGCCGUUAAUUUUCCCUGGAAAUAGACUCAUACAUAUCUUAUCCAUCAAAUUUUCAGAAUUUUUGGUUUGGCCGAUCAAUACCAGAUUUUCUUAAAGUUUCCCCUGUUUCACUGUUUGACUAAUCUGACCAGUCUUCACUACGAAUCAAAUUUCUCAUUGUACAGAAUUCAAAAUAUGUUCUAUUUGAUUUCAUUUGAAACUAGACUCAUUAAGGAGUCUAACAUAUUAAUUUUAUCUUGUAACCAUUUUUGUACAAAUUAUAGUGAUUUUCUAAAUACAGGACAGGAGAUUUCGGAGUCAUUCUGACACUGUCUCACACAACUUUAAAUAUCUCUUUAUAGGAAAUUUCUUUGCUUACACGGUCUCUUUUAUAAUAAACUAGACUAAUUAAGCUUUGAUUACAUAUUUUAUUCAGCCUAUAAUUCGACACCAAAAAUUUAUAGUGAUUUUCUAAAAUCACGUUACGGCUGCUGUCCUAAGCAAAUUAUUGCAAUUUGCUCUUAAAUUUCCAAGUCCAAACACUUAUGAACUUACCAUUUGAGUUUAAGACAUAUCAUGGCCACAUCAUAUCUUAUUAAAUCAACUCAUUAUGUCCUAUUAUGAUUGAAUUUACUCAACAUUUAAUCACUUAAAACUUACCUCGGAAGUGGUCGACGACUAGAUAUCCACGGCUAUUCGUUUACUUUCUCUUUUCCCCUAUCCGACUUUGAUCCUCUUUGCUCUUAAGCUUAAGUAAAACAAUAGAUUUGCUUAAGUACUUAACUAAUAUUAUUCACUUAACAAUCACAUUUGGCAAUCACAUAUCAUUUAAUCUACAUCUAAAACAAUAGAUUUCAAUAUGUAUCAUAUUUAAUAAAACAUGCCAUGAUUCGAUUUCAUGCUUAUUUAAUUUAUAUCUAAUUCACAUUCUAAAUAAAAGUUUAUCAAGCUUCCAUCUUCAUUUAACUAUGUACCAUUUAGAACUAUCAAUACUUUACACCCUUUAACAAAUUAUAAUCAAUUGCCAAAUGCAUCUUUGACAAUUUAAACCACACAACUCAAAUUCUUACAAUUUAAGCUUAGAAAUUUCUAUUCAUGUAAAUUUUAGCAACAUGGAGUCCAUUAAACACUCCAAAAUUCCAUUUGAACAACAAUUGUUCAACCUUCUAGCAUAAUUUCAAUCUGGACAGCAAGCAUUAUUUAACAACCAUUGUUUUCUUUUAUUUCAAACAUGCAGCAGACCAAUUCCUCCACAUAUUACAGCACAUUCAAAUAAGCAUUUACAUGCUGGAACAAUUUGUUUUCAAGCUGGAGUUUCCAGCAAUCAUUUAUGCAUUUAAUUGUCACAUUGUUACGUCACUACUAACAACUGAAACUUAGUAAGAAUAACAUAAUAUUUUAGCUAUUAGACUCAAUUUAUCAACCCCUAAUCGGCAUGAAAAUAGAACCAUUAAUUUGUUCAAAUUUUGGACAGCAUAACGAAGGCACAAAAUUGGACAGUAGUAAUUUUUACAACUAAUCAAAGAGCUUUUCUUUUCUACCACCCACAUCCAUGCCUUCCAACCACAAUCCAUCAUCAUUUUUCUUUACAACAAAGUUAAAGAUAGAGGGGAGCUUAGAAAACUUACCAACUUUGGAUACAACUCUUAAACAAGCUAAAUCCUUAGUUUCCUUCAACAUGCAAACUGUCUCCAUUUUUCUUUUUGUUGCAGCCCUCUUCCUCUUCUUCGAUGGAUUACCGAGUUACUUUAAAUUUCAGCUACCUAACUAGCUAAAAUCAUAUUUUUUCCUCCUUCUAGCCAUCUUCUAAGCCAAAAAUUAAAGCAACCAAACUUUCUUCUUCCUCCCUCAAGUCACGGCAAUGGAGGAGCAACCUAGCUAAUUUUUUUGUUUCUCCCCUACUAACCACUAUUAUUUUAUUACCCAUGUUCUUUAUUUUAUUAUUUCUAACAUAAAACACUAACAUAAAAUGUUUAUAAUACAUUUCAUCCCAUAGCAUGGCCGGUCACUACUUGUCAUAGGUGGAAAUUUGACAUGCAAACCCAUUAUUUUCAUAACAUGUACUAAUAGAUCCUUAUAGAUUAACCCAUCACAUUUCAAAGUGUCACACAUAAGUCCUAUUACUAAAAUUCACUUUCAAUUAACAAAAUUCAAACAUGAAAUUUUCACACAUGCAUAUAUACAUAUAAUAAGCAUCAAGUAUGACGGUUAAUUAUUUUUAUGACUCGGUUUUGUGGUCCCGAAACCACUUUCCGACUAGGGUCACAUUAGGGGUGUCACAGUGCCCAUUCCACAACACUUACCAAUACGUCACUUGCAUCUUGAGUAUUCUUCCAUUUCACUAGAAUUUUACCCAUUGAACACAUCGGAAUAUAACUCGGAUACAUGGAAAGUUUGCACAUAAGUGCCACAUAUGUAGCCAAGCUACCAUGUAACCCACCCAUAAGUGAACUUGGACUCAACUCAACAAGCUUGGGCGUUCGCAUCCAUAAGUGAACUCGGACUCAACUCAACGAGCUCGGAUGCCUAGCUACAUCUCACGAACUCGGACUCAACUCAAUGAGUUCAGACGUUCGCAUCCAUAAGUAAACUCGGAUUCAACUCAACAAGCUCAGAUGCCUAGUUACAUCUCACGAACUCGGACUCAACUCAACGAGUUCGGACGUUUGCAUCCAUAAGUGAACUCGGACUCAACUCAACGAGUUCGGAUGCCCAAAAUUCGAAUCUAUUCCUAAGGUUCAACGGGAUUCUUUUCAAUUACACAUUUCGAUCGUCUUCUUCGGAAUAUAGAAAUCGAUAUUUGCUAACAUCUCAUACCUAUUAAAUUGUUCACAUAAUUUGCAUAUCACCAAAUAAUAAUUCACAAAACAUCAUAUUUCAUGAUAAUAAGUAUCUUGUCAUAUAAAUAACAUUAAAUCACUUAAAAUAAAAAAUUAUGUUACCUUAUUUACACAUGAACUUACCUCGUAUGCGAAAAUGGUCAUUUUUACCAUUUUGUCCACAACUUGUUAUUUUGCCGAUUUUAGCCCGAAUUUCAAUUUUCCUUGCUAAUCAAGGCUUAAAAGUGUUGAAACCCUAGCUAUGGUGGAGAGAAAAAUUCAACAACAACUUAUGGAGAAGAUGAUCAUUUUGUUGUUAUUUUUCCCAUUUUAUUUCAUUUAAUAUCCAAAUGACCAAAAUGCCCUUCCUUACUAAACUUUCAAAAAUUCCAUCCACAUCCAAUUCCAUAAACUUAGAAAUUGGUCAUAUUGCUAUUUAAGACCGCCUAAUUAAUAUUUCAAAGCAAUUUCAUACUAGAAACUUCUAGAAUGCAAGUUUUGCAACUUAUUCAAUUUAGUCCCUAACUUCAAAUUAAGCACUUUAUGCAUAGAAUUUCUUCACGAAAUUUUCACACAAUCAUGCAAUCAUAUCAUAGACCUCAAAAUAAUUAUAAAAUAAUUAUUUCUAUCUCAGAUUUGUGGUCCCAAAACCACUAUUUCAAUUAGGCCCUUAUUCGGGAUAUCACAACUCUCCCCCCUUUAGGGAUUUUCACCCCCGAAAAUCUUACCGGAAAAGUGGUAUUCACUUAGAUUCCUCAAUUUCAUAUUCAGUGUUGAAGAACUUUCACUCAGGCAGUGCCUCCAAUAUAUCUCUUUAAUUUCUCAUAUAUUCUGAAAGCUUACGGACUCAUCUCUCAAUUGUUCUUAAAUUUUCAACCCUUCUCAGUUUCCCUUGUCAUCUUAACAUAAAACACAGAUCUCAAUUUGGUUAAUGGAGACUAGAAUUCCAAGAAAUCCAAUAAUAAAAGGGACCUGCACUCUUCCGAAUAAUCAUACAGAUUUUCAUCAUCGAUAAAUCACAAUCCAAUAACAUCUGAAUCAAAUUACAGUACAUGUGAUUACUCUCUGAAUGAAUAGGCAAAUUUUCACUGUGAGCUUCAUACAAUUCUUUCUGUAUAAGCCUCGGAAUAAUAAUACCAUGAAUCAGAUCCAAUUUGAAAUUCAACAUCAAAAGUCGAUCCUCACUGUACUCUUUUAGUUUACUACUCACUAUCACAUUUUCCUCUUUCCGCUACGGAAAUAAUUUUGAUAUAGCCUCUAAAGUAAUCCUUUCUCAUUUUCAUCCUAAUAUCAAUACUGGCAAAGAUAACUCUGGUAGAUCCUGAUGCUCGGCUUUAACCCCAUUAACAACUCAGAUAUUUCUGUGGCAUCGAAUGCUCUAAACUAUUACAUUACCUUAUUUUCUUGAAUCACAUUACAAUUCAUACAGAUUGAACACUCGAGUUGAUCUUAAUCACUAGUGAAUGACAUUUCAAGUAAUCUUUUCUUCUAGUUACAAAAAAAUUCAUCAUGCCAUCCUUUACUAUUCAUUCCUUAUGUUAAUCAAAACCAUCUCAAUUGCAUUCGCUCAAGUAACCAAAAUAUCUCAAUUGAAGACAUUAACUAUAAUUGACUUACUUGAGAGAAGUAAUCCACCAUACCGAUUGAAACUCGCACUUUUAUCACUUAUGCCUUUGCUGUUGUCAAACCUUACACGUAAAUUAGAAAAAUCCCAAUACUGAAAUCACCACAUUACCCAAAUCAAAUCAGAAGUAUAGUCAUACUUGACAUGAUUAUCACGAGCUAAAGAACGCACUUCGAACAUGAGUCAUAAUUGACAAAUUACGGAAUAAAGAUAACAAGAAAACUGAAUAAAGAAAUCCAAGAUAGAGUAACCCAGAAUAAAGAAAUCCAAGAUACGAUACUGUGCUGGAAAAUCAAAAACCUAACUCAUAGGAAAAUAUAGAAGAUCUCGAAAAUUCCUCAGAGAAAAGAAGUCCAGAAGAAAACAUCAUUUAAUCCCACUGGAAUCAAAUAUAACAAGAACAAUGUAUCUUCCCAUACAUAUAUAUCAAAUGGAGCAUUAAGUAGAAGAACAGUAUCAUAAUAUCAUACAUAUCCUCUCAUCAAUUCUUAUCAGAUGAAAUGUAAUAAAAUGCCCGAGGAAAUACAGUAAUACAAAUUAUAAACCAGUCGGACUACCAAUGCAUCCAUCUAACACUAGUAUUAGAAAACAUUCCCAUAUAACAAGAAUUUCUUCAAAAGAUCAACAACCAUAGAAUUUUUUUUUCUAAGAACGGAUAAAUACAUAGAACAUCUCAGAAGAAACUGUUAAAAUCUGUCCAGCCGUAACUGUCACACUCAAAUAUUACACAUUUCAGAUAUCAUUUCCUCAACUAUUUCUGCCAUCACAAAUUUCAUAUUACUUUUCACUAAAGAAGACUAGUUUUGAAUAAAUUUUGAUUUGCACUUUUCUCGACCUUGUACCUUAGUAAUUCGAUUUAUCAAAAUAAAUUUCUUCUCUAACUGGAACAGUGCAUAUGUCCAAUAAUCCUUAUGCCAAUCUGAUACUUUUCUAGCUUUGACUUUACUUACCAACUCAUUCUUCAAUCUCUAAUCAUAUUUAUAAUUAUUCUAGCACUAAACUCUUUAGUUUCUCAACCGGAAACUUAUUCAGUACAAAUCUCAUGAAAUUCCAUUAUAAGCUCCACUUCGGUAAGGGGGAGGGGUUGUAGGGCCUCUGACUCGACUUUCUCAUACAUAUACAUAUGACACAAUUUCCAUCAUCAUAACAACAUCAUCAAAAUCAUAUCAUUCAUUCAGGAAAUGCAUCAUUCAUGUUGGUUUACACAAAUUUUCUAGUUAUCCCAUUUAAACAAGUAUACUUAUGCAUGCAUCCUAGGUUUUCUGGAUAGCUUGACUUAUCCAUUCAUCUACUCAAAAAAAUCAUACUCAUGACAUCAUAUAAGGGUUAAACAAACAUAGAUAUUUUCAUCACAAUUGCAACUUUCAUUUUGUGCAUCAUCAUAUACAUAUCAUUACAAUCAUGUAAUUCAGUCCAAACAAUUUAACAUAGAUAAAUUCAUUUCAUUAUAAUCAUUUAGCUCAUAAAAAAUAUCAUUGACAUUCAUCAACAUUCAACGUUCAAUCAAGGCAAUGGAAUUUUCAUUCAUAUCAUGAUAUUAGGAACCUUUACUCAUACCUCUACGAAUUUCUUGUUAUCUCGUUCAUCUUAUCAAGUAAGCUACGUGCACUACAUCAUAUGAGCAUUAAGCAAGUAUGGAUAUUUAUCACAACAUGAACUUUCAUGUCACGUGUUAUCACAUAUAUAUAUAUCAUAAAUGUUAUAAUGUCCUCUAUCUCUAACUCUACGAUACAGGUUUUGUGGAACAAAGAUCCUUUCUCUAAGUUUAUACCAGCUAGAGGAAUUCAGCAAGGGUGCCCGCUCUUUCAUUAUCUUUUCAUUUUAUGCAUGGGAUGGCUUGGACACUCAAUACACUCAACUAUUUUUUAUGGAAAAUGGAGCCUCAUUCACUUUUCUCGAUUUGGUCCACCUAUCUCUCACUUAUUCUUUGCAGAUGAUUUAGUUAUAUUCAGCAAAGCAGAUUUGAAGCAUAAUAAGAUCCUUAAGGAUAUUUUGGAAACUUUUUGCUAGUUUCCUAGGCACAAAAUUAAUGCUAGGAAAACUAAUAUUUUUUUCUAAAGAAGUGGAUGAGACGGUGGCUAACUUGAUUAGCUCUUUGUUCAGGUCCCAAAGAGUUCAGAAUCUCAGUCAUUAUCUUGGAGUCCCCCCUUUUUCAUCAAAGGGUGACCAACAACACUAUGCAUUUUGUUGUCAAUAAAGUUAGAGGAAAGCUUCAAAAUUAGGAUGCCAAACAGUUACACAUUGUUGGUCAUGUUACUUAGGCCCACCCGGUUUUCCUGUCCAUUCUUAGUUAUUUUAUGUAGUCCAUGAUGACUCCUAAAAAAUUUUGCAAUGAAAUUGGAAGCCUAGUGAAACAAUUCAUUUGGGAUUCUUCUGAGAAUAAAAAAAAGAUGUCUUUGGUUGGGUGAGAUUCUAUUUGUCAACCAAAAUGUUGUGGUAGUCUUGGUUUACGGAAAUUACUUGAUCAGAAUAUCUCAUUUUUAUUGAAGCUGAGGUAUAAUAUCGUAUUGGGCAGAGAGGAUUUUGCGUUUGCGUUAUCAGGGUGAAAUACCAUAUAUUUGAUGCUUUUCUAAUUCUAUCACAUGCGUUAAAAGUUCUUUUUGUUGGAAUUCGCUCUCUAAAAUUUGGUCGUUACUUUGAUAGAAUUUAUUCUGGUUUGUUGAGAGUGGGUAUCAAAUUCGCUGUUGGAAAGGUGUUUGGAUUCCUAGUGUAGGGAAACUGAUUAAGUAUAUUCAUGCUAACAUCACUAUUAACCCCUAAUGCUACCUUAAUGAGAUAGUCACAGAGGAUGGGUUGUGGAACUUUGAUUUUUCAUACUUUGGCUUCCAGAGGAGGCGAUCCAGUUAAUUAUGGGUAUUCCCCCUCCUCUUUUCUCUUAGGGGCCUGAUAAAAUCACUUGGUGCCAUACUUCUUUCAGAAAUUUUUCUAUUAAAAGUGCUUAUAAGUUUCUUAAGGGUGAUAUUUGGAACUUGAAGGAUGAAAGAUGGAAAAGUGCCUGGAAGACUCCAAGAUCGCAAAGGGUUCAUUUUUUUAUUUGGUUGUUUCUUAAGCAGUGCCUUCUUAGUAAUGCUGAAAGGGUUAAAAAGGGCUUAGCCAUUGAUCCUUCAUGUUCUAUAUAUGGCUUUCAUUCGAAAGACAUUCUUCACAUUCUUAGAGAUUGUAAUGCAAGUAAGGAUGUUUGGAGCCAGGUCAUAACAAGUUAUCAUUUCACGAAUUUUUUCUCGCUUAACUUAUAAGAAUGGAUCCUUUCUAACGUGUAGAAUUCUUCUGUGAUCCAAUAGGAAGGUACUAGCUGGGCUUGCCACUUUAGGGUUCUGAUUUGGCAUCUUUGGAAGAAUAGUAAUCUUUACAUUUUUCAAGGCCAUUCUUGGAGUUCGAGAGAGAUUGUCAAAGGUUUAUACUGUUGGGUUAGCAAAUGCUUUUUGCCUUUUAGAGAUGCUCCGAGUGGUGGUUUUGGUUUUCCUUGGAGGAGGAAGUUUCUAGUUCUAAGAUCUUCCUUAAUAUGGAUGGAGCAGUUCUUUUGGAUUCCGGAGAUGCAGUUGCUAAGAAGUUGCAAGUGAUGCAGUUGCUGGAUAAGUUGUAAGAGAUGUGAAUGGAGAGUGGCUUUUUGGUUUUAAUCAGCACCUUGAAAAGUGCUCAAUUUUCGAUGUUGAACUUUGGAGCAUUUUUGAAGGCUUAAAACUUGUUCAGCGAAGAGAUCACGACAUUGUAAUAAUACACUCAGACAAUCUGGAGGUUGUUCGAGCCAUUCAAGGAAGUGUUUCAUCUUCAUCAAACUCAGCCUUGAUUAGGUGAAUUUAGAGUAUUCUAUCUCAAGAGAAAUUGUCGUUCUUGCAUUACAUCCCUAAGGGACAGAACCAAGCUGUUGAUUGCAUGGCCAAAGUAGCUUUAUCCUCUAGAGAUGACUUAUAUUUUUUUGAGUUUCCCCCUAUUAUGGUUCUGAAUUUCUUAGAUUUAGACAAAUCUAGAGAUUUUUUCAGACCAAUCAGAUGUAAUUAGUUAAGUUACUAUUGUUUUCUUCACAAAAAAAAAACAAAAAAUUUAUUUAAGUUAAAUUAAAUGGAUAAAUUAUUUUAUCUAAUUAAAUGUUUAUUUUAAAUAUAAAUCCUUUAACUUCAUGGAUAAUCACUAUAAAUAAUAAUUUUAUAUGUGAACAAAAAAUUGUUUAAAAAAUAUUAUAUUCAUUUGUAUUAUAUUUAAUUGACGAUAAAAAAUAAAAAAUAUAUUAAAUGUAACGAGUCUCAAUUAUUAUAAUAAUAUUAAAAUAUUAAACACAUUAUGUAUUAUUUGUACACAUAAUAAAAAUAUUAUUCUAAUUAAUAUAAUGUUUUGUUUUGUUUUGUUUACAUUAAGGUGUAUAAAAUAAUUAAUAUAUUAUAUCCCUCAUUUAUAUAUAUACACAAUCAACCCAACUAAAAAAAUGAGUGACGUUAUUAUAAUUUGUAAGUUUUCGUUUUGGUAACUCAACGUCAAAAAGUUAUAAAAUAGUCAUUGAGCUAUCUGAAAGUUUUGAGUUAAGUCAUUGGGCUAUUGAAAUUGCUAUUGCAUGACCUUAUUUGUUUGCACUACCUACAUCAAAUUUAAAGCUUCAUUCCUCUUCUCUUCUAUAGUUCAAUUUUUUUCAUGAAACAUCUUUGAAUGUCACAAAUCUGCAAAUCAAAAUCUAAACAACUUUCUUCCUUGAUCUCAAAAACUAACUGCCAGAUUGACUUGUAUCUAGGUAUGUUCUACUUGUCGAUGGGUGUUGAUCCAUCGUACAAAUUGUCGUAUCGUCGCUUAGAGCUCAAUAGUUGGACUUUUUUUUUCAAAAAAAAACCUUAUUAGCCCAGUGACUUAAAUAAAAACUUUCAAAUAGCUUAAUACCAUUUUGUAUUUGAAGUUGAAAGACCAAAACAUAAACUUACUAAUAAUUUAGUGACAUUGGUUGUAGUUUACCGUGAUUCAUCGAAACGUAUGACCAUAAUCAAAGAAAUUUAAAUGCGAAAAUCCUUGAAAUUAAAAGACUUAAAAUAUAGCUAAAACAGAAGGGAUAAAUAUCAAAUUUAUAAAUGAAUUUUUGUUCAAUGUGCAAUUUGAUACCUUAACUUUGAUUUUUUGCGGUUAUAAACAUGAAACUUAAAUUGUGCUUCAUAUGUAUAUAUAAAACUUUGAUUUUGAUUCAAUUAUACAUAUUAAAAGAAAUGAAUACAUACAUUUAUUUUUAUAUUUGAUUAAUAUAAUUGUUUAUAUAUGCAAUAUAUUAACGUAUAAUUAUGUUAAUUCAAUAAUGUUGUUAGUGAUUUUUGAAAAUUGAAUCAAAUCAAAAUUUCAUGUAUCAAAUUGCACCAAAUCAAAGUUCAUGUAUAGCUUUGAUAUUUAUCCAAAAAAUAUAUUAAUAAUAAAAAUUUAUAGCUAAUUACAAAAUUAUAAUCCUAAAAUUUUAAUAAAUCCAUUGAAAACAGAGGAAGCUUGUAACUAUUUUUUGGCUUAAUACAUAAUUUAGUACUAAGUUUGACAUUUUUUUCCCAAUGUGAGGGGUGUGUGUGUAUGUGUUUUUUUUUCAAUGUGAUAUAUGUAUUUAACAAAGGUUUUGCAAUUGAUGAAUAUAGGUGUAUUGUGAUGUUUGAUGAUAGAAAAUGUAUGUUUGUUGUUAGAUAAACAACAUUUGUAAAGUGCUUUUUAGUAAAAUUAUCAAUUAGGUAUUAAAUUGAGAAAUGUGGAAAUUUUAUGGUUAAAUUAUGAAAUAAAUGAAAAAUAUGGGCUGCUAUGGGUCUAUAUGAAAUUCGGCUAGCAUGGGUAGGGAUCUAAUUGCAUGAAUUUGUAUUUUUAUAAGAUAAAGACUAAAUUGUAAAAAUUUAGAAAUAUAAGGGGGAAAAGUGUAAAGUUUCCAUAAUAUGCAUUUUGGGAUAAAUUGAAUAGAAUGAUAAUUAAAUAAGCUAAAUUUGAUUACAUAUAGAUCAAGAAAAGCAAAGUAUGGAUCUAGAUCGGGGGAAAAACAAAGUAUUGGAUUAAUCGAUUCAUUCCAUCAUUUUUGUGAUCGAGGUAAGUUCGUAUGUUAAUAAGAUUUAAUAUAAUUGUGUUUUAAAUGCUUUAUUAUUGAAUUAUUUGUGAAUACGACCUUACGAAUAUGUUCAUUGACGACGAUUCGACAAAUGUGAAAUCCCGGUUGAACCUUAAGAAUAGAUUAAGAUACGAAUGACAUGUCAUUAGGAGUCAUGUCAUUAGGAGUUAUGUGAUUUGGGUGCUGUACGUCCUACAGGUGGCUGAGUUAUCCGGCAUGUGUUGCGGAUUCUCGUCAGCUUGUGUGAGCAGACCCAUUGAUAGCUCGAGAGUGAGCAUUAUAUGUGAUAUGAGAUUGAGAUAGCUUCGGCUAUGUAUUGGCACUUAGGGUGCGAGAUUCCCGAGUAUUCGAUAGUAUUCCACAUGGUUCAACAGGUAUAUCAAGUAUAUGGAUGAGUAUGAGAUUGAUACGAGUUGUAUAGGUAUGUACGUGAACUAUACAAUCAUCAAAUUGAAGAAGUUGAUGGAAAUUGUGUUUAAUCUUUGGAUUGAAUAUAUGUGUUAAAUUAUGCUUCAAAUUUGAAUUUCAUUAUAUGAUGUUUAUGUUAUUGAAUUGUUGUUUGGUAAGUUUUAUUUACUUAGCAUACGAGCUUACUAAUAUUUAUAGCUUACUUUAUUUACUUUUUCGUGUUUUAUAGUGAAUACCGAAGCUAGUUCAGAUUGGGAGUCGUCUAAGAUUGCAUCACACUAUCGAGCUUCUAUUUUGGUACUUUUGAGCUUAUGUAUUUGGUUAUAUGGCAUGUAUAGGAGUGAUGGUCAUUUUGGUAUAUGAUAGUAAUGGAUUUUAGCCAUUUGAGUUGGCUUGUAAAUGAUAAGUGUUUGGUUUUGUGUAUAGCCAUGAGAGUUGCCUUAGUUUGGUAUAUUUGGUGAUGUAAAUGUAUGUUCAAAUAGCCUUUUGUUAUAUUAUGUAAUAUUUCCAUUUAUAUGCUUGUUGUGAAUUGGUAUUUGGAGCACCAUAUGGUUGAAAUUUGAAGAUUUGGUAUGCAUGUGAUUAGAGGUAAGAAAGUACAUAUAUGAAGUUAACUAGUUAAGUGAAUUGAGAAUGUGAAUUUGGUAUGAAAUUGAAUAGCAUAUUGUGGUAUAUGUGUGCCUUGUAUUUGUUGGCAUUGAAACGGCCUGAAUAUGCUUAUUUGAGAUUGAUUUGAAUGACCAUUGAUGUUAUGCUAUAGGCCAAUUGAUGUUUUCAGGGGAUGCAAUUUGGGUGAGAAAGAUGGCUUGGUAAAUAGCCUAUUUUUGUCCACACAGGCAGAGACAUGGGUGUGUGUCUCAGCCGUGUGUGACACACGGUCAGGUGACACAACAGUGUGUCUCCUGGUGUUUAAUUAGAAAUCAAGUCAGUAUGCUUCACAUAGCCGAACACACGGGCGUGUGUCUUGGCCUUGUGGCAUAAGUCUGCAUACCCUUCAGGUUUGGCACGGUCUAGCACAUGGCCUAGCACACAGGCAUGUGAGGCCAUUUCGAAGGGCACACGGGCUGGUCACACAAGCGUGUGGUUGGUCGUGUGACCCAAGUCAGAGAGUUACACGGGGUCAGACAUAGGCUGGGACACGGCCAUGUGAUCCCAUUUCGAAUGUCCAUACGGUCUAUGACACGAGCGUCUCUUUGGCCGUGUGAGACACACAGGCGUGUGUCCCCUGUAUUUUGUAAGAAUUUCUAAGUUUUCUAAAAAUUUCUUGAGAUAUCAGUUUAGUCCCAAACCACUCUUAAAGCAUGUUUUGGGCCUCAUAGGCUCGUAUUAGGGACCUGAUGAAUGAUUGUGAAUGACUUGUAUUUGAAUUUCAUAAUUCAUUUGAGAAAUGUAUGUUUGAUUGUGUUAUAAGUCUGGUAAUGCUCUGUAACCCUAUUUCGAUGACGGAUACAGGUUAGGGCUGUUACAUAACAACCUUGGGAAGUCAUCAAGGUGGGAAUUAACCAAAAAUUGGUAUUGCCCAUUCGUGAACACCUUUGUCCCAAGCCAAUCUGGACUAUGAGGUUGGAAGAUAGGUAGUCAUUACUGACUCAUUAUGUUAGAAGAAGAUUUGAAGAUUCUGCUAAGGUAGUGACUAGUUGGUUGAUGAGUAACCCGAGACGACAGUUGAUUGGGAUUGCUAAAGUGAGCUAAUUAGCAAUCUUCAGAUUCAAUUCACUUUAUUCUUUAUAUCUAUUGAAAUUCAAUUCUUUUAUGUUAUUUUAUUUUAUUUAGAAAACCUUAAAAUUAUCUCUCAUUUUACUUUCAUACUAUAACUGAUUUAAAAGUAUUAUUUAGAUCUUUAAGUGUUUAGGUUAAGAUCGAUUUAGAUCCUUGGAGUACUCGCCUACUUCGUUGUAAAAUCUAUAUUACAACUUGACCCGUAUACUUGUAAAUACUGCCUCGUAAUUCUUUAUCUUAUUUCAGUAUUACACUCUGGACAUUUGUACAUCCAGAGAUGGUCAGUCAACCUCUAUGAUGAAACUGGUGUAGCCAUCAUGUUUUUUUUUUUGUUACUUUUUCCAAUCUUUUAUUUGUUUGGCUUGUAGCUCAAUGUACUAUUGGAACAAGGUGUCCUCGAUAACACUUCGGGAAGGUUUCAACUACUGCUUAGUGGAUGUCAUAGGUACACCCGCCUUUUUGCGUAAGGUCCUCACUAGAUGGGGGAAGAAAACUCCCACCUUUUGGGUACUAAUGCAUCUCUUCAUUUUCUGUGGAUCCAUUUGCUGAUACACACCUGCUCUUUCUGCAAGAAUGCAUACAGUAAAACUGCUCAAAAGGUAUUAACAUUAGAAACAUUUAAAAUGGGUACUAUUCGCGUGCCCACAAAUUGAAACUACAGUUUACCUUUUAGAAACAUAAUAGCUUGAUGAAAGGAUAGAGGAAUAUUGGUACCUGAGCGAUAUUUCCAUUUGCCCCUUCCUUCAGUUAAAAAUUUUAUAAUGCUAUCCAUACCUAUGUCCCAUAAAUAUUCUAAAUCUGUUUCGUCGAUAAAUUUUUUUUCAUAGUAUGAAGCAUUAUAAAAGUCACAAACAAUUUGAAGGGUUAUUGGUACCUCUUUCCCUUGCACUGGUACUAUAUCCCGCAUAUGACCUUCAAUUUUUUUAGACUCUUGGUCCCGUAAAGAUGUGUAAAAUUCUUCAAUGGUCAGGAUGACAACAUUAUCUUUUGGGAUUGUCCAAAAAUGCUCCCAUUUAUGAUAUAUGACUAAAGGUCAUAUUUCCUUACAAAGAACCAUAGAUGGAUCAAAUCCCUAUUCUUGAAUGAAUGUCUUUCCUUGAAGUUCAUUGAAAUAUUUUCAAACAUUUGGAUUUGGAAAACUAGAGGGACUUUGACUCAUAGAUGUUUUCGGCUCAUUAGUUCGCCUAAUCUUCCUAUGUGGCAUGAUUAAACUAAGAAUUCAAAUAAAAUGUUUAAACAAAAUUCAAUAGAAUAGUAAUAAUUUCAAUUAGGAACCCUUAACCUUGAAAAAUUCCUUGAACUCUUGUGCGUGUUGGUUUAGCUAUUUGUUGUACGUGUUGGUUUACCAUUCCCUUGAGUGCUCCCCUCCUUUGCCACAUCGGAGAAGUUUAAACGAUGAAGUAUUUCACACAACUAGAAAGAAGAGAAUGAGAUUUGAAAUUUUAGGGUUUAAGUGAAUUUAAAAGAUUUAAGAGGAUUAAGGGGUGUUAAAUAGGCUUAGGAGGUGUGUUAGGGUUAAAAAGGAGGUGUUUUAGUACUAAAAAAUGGGUAAAAGAAGUGUUUAACUGUUGGGUUGUGCUUGUCGGGUCGGUCACCUACAGAAAAAUUGUGACGAUGUCAUGAGACAAAAGGUUCUGUGUCACAACAUCCCUUGUAGUUUUCCAUUGUCUCAACAUUGGGGUUUGAUGUCGUGAUACAUUCUAAAUUUUUGGAUUGAGUUUUCUCGAUUUUGAAGGUUGCCCUUGGUGUUGUGACACAGGAUUCCUGUGUUGUGACACGGACUCUGUUCUUAUUCAUACCUCCAUUUCUAGAGUGCUAUAGUUCCUAUAAAACUCACAGUUAAUUUAAAUUUAAAUUUUGUACUAAUAUUUAGCUAACUAUACAAUAUUUUGUAUAUAUUUCAUCAUCAGAUCAAAUAGUUUAAGUCUUAUUAUCGGAUUCAUCCAACAAUAUCAUCACGUUACAGAUGGUCUAUUCUUUUAUUCUAUCAGUAUUAGUCCAUUGUUAGUUGUGCCAUUCCACCUUUGCCCGUUUGUCCCUUUCCUUAAACCUAUUUACUCGUUCUGUAUGCAUAAAAGGAAGUGCAUCCCUGGAUACGGGAAUGUUAGAAAUAGAUAAUUAUUUGUAUUGCUCCGCUAACUUCCUCCUACCUUCUUUUUCGCUUGGUUCAUGACCACAUUUAAAAACUUUAGUCUCGUCAUUGAUUUUUAUGGUUAAUUCAUUUGUUUUCUAACUCAAUGGUGGAUCUCAAUAUGAUUAGAAGAGGUCUACCUAAUAAGAUCGACAUCUCCCGAUCAUCUUCAAAAUCUAGAGCCACUAAAUCUACUGGGAUAAUGAAGCUGCGCACUUUGACUAACACAUCUUGUAAUACACCUUUCAGACGUAUUGAAGACCUGUCAACCAAUUGUAGUGUUACCUGAGUAGUUUUAAGAUCUCCCAACCCAAGUUUUUCAAAAAUAGAUAAGGGCACUAAAUUAAUACUAGCUCUUAAUUCACAUAGAGCUCUAUUAAAGUGAAUGUAACACCCCUAAUCUGUGUCCGUUGCUAGAUUAGGGUUAUAGACCACUACUAUAUAAUUGAAAAGACUUAAAGUUAAUUUCAUUCAAUAACAUAACAAAUCAUAAACCAAUCGUAUACAUAUAUACUGUACCUAAAUUGAACCCUUGAGGCCCUAAAAAUACCUUAGAAACAAAUCGGGACCAAUUUGAAAUCAUUUGAAAAAUAUAAGAAAAAUCAAAAAAUGUUGGAAACAGGGGUCACACUGCUAAGGCACAUGCUCAUGUCCUAGGCUGUGUAACCUUCGAACUAGGGACACACGGCUGUGUCCUAGCCCGUGUCCUCACCCGUGUAACUCUCUGAGUAGGGUCACACGAGCAUGUCACACGUCCGUGUGCCAGGCCGUGUAACUCUUUGAGUUGCCUCACACGCUCGUGUGCCAGGUAGUGUGCUAGGCCAUGUAACUUACUGACUUGCAUACAAUGGAACUCUCAAAUGGCACAUGGCUGAGUCACACGCCCGUGUCUCAGACUGUAUGAUGCAAAUUUUUCUAAGAUCAGCCAGAGUCAGGUAAAGAAUUUUUUAUUUUUAGUGAUGCUUCAUUAAAUGGUUUCGACUGUGUUUUGAUGCAAGAAGACAAAAUAAUAGCGUAUGAUUCUCGAUAGUUGAAACCACAUGAAAUGAAUUAUCCUACUCAUGUUUUAGAACUUGCAGCUAUUGUGUUCACUUUAAAGAUUUGGCGACAUCAUUUAUACGAAGAAAAAUGUCAUAUCUUCACGGAUCACAAAAGUCUGAAGUAUUUGAUGUCACAAAAAAUAUUUGAACUUGAGACAGUGUAGAUGGCUUGCAUUGUUGAAAGAUUACGAUUUGAUCAUUGACUAUCAUUCAGAAAAGGCUAAUGUUGUUGCUGAUGCACUAAGUAGAAAAUCUCUAUUUAUUUUGUGAGCUUUGAACACACAGUUGACAUUGAUUGAUGAUGGUUCAAUUUUAGCUGUAUUAAAAGCUAGACUGACUUUUUUGCAAAAAAAUUGUGAGCUCAAAAAAAUGACGAUGAAUUGAUUGCUAAACUGAAAUAGAUUAAGUCAACAUCUGAUACAGAUUUAGAAAGAAAAGAAUAAGAUAAUACAUUUUUCUUUUCUUUUGUUUUUACAUUUAUUUACCCAUUUACCAUAUUAAGCUUAAAAAUUUAUCAUAAUUUCACUUAAACCAUACCCAUAAACAUCCAUUACCUCAUUUAUUGGUAUAAUUACCUUAAAAGUCCCUUAGUUCAAGGUUCCAUGGCUUUUAGACUCCUUUAGCUAAUAGAGCUCAACUUUACACAUUUUUCGAUUUAUUCCUUUUUACUUAAUUAACUAUGCAAACAUCAAAAUUUGUUAACAAAAUUUUAACACGAACUUAAUAUAUAUUUGUAGACAUUAAAAUAAUAAGAAAAUAAUAAUUUACUCAUCAAAUUUGUUGUCCCAAAGCCCCUAUUCUAAUAUUACUGAAAAGCGGCUGUUACGGUGAAUGCUUGCUAUUUCUAUGAGAAUAACUUCCCAGGUCUUUCAAUUUUUGGGGAACCUACCUUGAAAUAAUAACACUAGAAGAGGCACUUAAAGUAACAUGUUCUCCUACCUUAAUUUUCCUUCGCCUAGACAUAAUUUCCUUUAAAAACUUUGCGUAUUUGUGUACUUUCUCAAUUAAUUUGUUUAAAAGCAUGUUUAUAUAUAAUGUUUUGAAUAAGUUUAGAAAGCUUACAAACUCAUCUUCAUCUCGCUUUUGAUUUUCUUCUAGUCUAAAAGGGAAUGGGAUCUUUAUAACUGCAAAAUCUUUAGGUUCUUCCUUGUCUAGCUUAGUUACGAGUACAAUUUCCUCCUUUAACUCUGGUUCAUCUUUAGCCUCUAGGGAUUUCUCUUGAGCGUCAUUAGUAUUUUCCAUAUUUACCUCCGAAGUAGGGUUUUCUGGGGUACUCAGUACUUUGCCCGAUCGGAGCGCUAUUGCUUUCACGUGCUCUUUACCUUCUCCCCAAGAUUAUAUUUUGUAUUGCUGGGAAUACCUGUGCCAAUUUGUCUUUUAAUGUCUCCCAUCAUUCUCAUCAAUUGGCUCAUUUGAUCCUCAAGUUUAGUCAAUUUUUUGGUUGAGUUGGUGUACUCAGACUGCACUUGCUUGACAUAUGUUCUCAUUGACUUCAUUUGUCCCUCGAUUCGAUCCAAACAUUGACCACAUGUAGUAUGGUCAUUUAGGUUGACCUUAUCCUAAGGUUUCUACAAACAAGGAGGUUGAUAGUUAGUAUUUUUUACUUCAUUUGAACUAUUACCUCCUCCUUGGUUACCUCUCCCUCUCAGACUCGGGUGAUCUCUCCAACCAGGAUUGUAAGUGUUGGAGUAAGGGUUUCCUACCAUUAUUUUUGAUAUAAUU
RNAcentral lists this long non-coding RNA (69353 nucleotides) under Gossypium barbadense (sea-island cotton). Its description in RNAcentral is "long non-coding RNA (GBAR_LNC006401)". Lineage: Eukaryota; Viridiplantae; Streptophyta; Magnoliopsida; Malvales; Malvaceae. The record is from RNAcentral.